UUUCAAUAUGCGUUUUGUAAUUUAGCUUUUGGGCAAUAUCCCACAUAUGUCUCUUCAUCAGUAUUUGCUCCUAUUGUAAUAAACACUGUAAAAGUCCAAAUAUUUGUUACUUGUCCGAAUGCAUUACUUACAAGUGUAACAGUCGAGAUAAAAUAAUGUUUUUCUCUAUUUUAUGAGUUCGACUUUAUUAUAGCUAGAUAUCAUAUAUGAUAUAUGGUCUGGUUAGUGUAAAAAAAAAAAAAAGAUAUAUGGUCUGGUUAUAUUAUAAUUUGAUGUAAGUAAUUUCUUUGCAUUUGAAUAAUAAGACACAUCUACCCAAUUUGUUAAAUCAUUUUGAGUUUUACAAAGUUUUAUUUUAUUUUAUUUUAAUUAAAAAAAGCUUGCAAUUUAUAAAAUAUAGGCCUAAAGGUUAUUUCCGGAUUAGGCCAUACAAAUCACAUUAGGGCCCAAUCCAUUUACAACUAACCAAACUAAAUUAUUGAGAAGCAAAAUCGACCGGGUUCACAAACCGAACUAAACCGGACGCUGAAACCCUAAUCUGCAAAGUGCAGACGCAUAACACGCAGUAGCCGCCGUCCAACUGAUCUGCGGGUACUCACCGGAACAGAACCUCCGGGUGAGCCUGGACGAUGCUAGUCGAACGGAGAUGGUGAUCCAAGAUCCGUUGCCAUCCCGCCACCAUAAAGCGGUUUUGAGAAAGAGGAAGAGAACCAAGCUAACUUUUGUUGAGGAGGUUUUCUUGCUCAGUCGUGAAAGAGGACAUCAGUGGGGAGCAGAUGAAGAGACCUUCGCCGGUGGCUUAGCUUCGCCAGAUCGAAGACUACCUCCCCAAUCAUAUUCGAUCUCGUGAAACCUCCAAAGACUCAAGACUCUUAAUCUAACUACUCUCCUCUCUCGAUCUUCGCCGUGAAUCUCCCUCUUCCACUCCGUGUCGCCACACCGCCGGUAGAGCUCAUCUCACAGAUUCUUCCUUGAUUUUGAACCAACAGCUUCGUCGGGAAGAUGUAAUGAAUCGCGGAUGAAGAACCAUGAGCCGAAGGGUCCUCAUCGUCACCAAAAUUGACUGAGAACCCAACGCCGGUGCAUGAGUUUGUGAUAAGAAGAAGAAGAGUUUUUGAGAGAGAAAUCGCAGCGAGUGAGAUCCACGCGCGCGACUCUCUCUAAAAUGUUUUUGAGUUUUACAAAAUUAAAUUUCAUACUAAUGCAAUUAAUUAAUUUUAGUGUAUAGAUAAGUUUUAUGUAGCAAAAUAAUAUAGAUUUUAUAUAUAACAUAUAAUAAGACUACCUCCACAUACUUAAAAAAUUGGGGUGUCUUUAAAUAUUAUAAAACUACCUCCAUUGGUAAAAAAAAAAUUGGCAUGUCUUCAAAUAAAAUUUUGGGUAAAUAGGAGGGAUCCGUAUCUUUUGAGAGACACUUCAGAGUUCACAUGCUUUGGCGUCGUUGGUAUGCCUUAGUUUUAACUUAAGGGUGUGACGUGUUCUAAAUAUUUUGGAUUCAAAUCUAAACUCUAGGGAGUUUAGUUAAGGUUUAGUUAGUACGCAUUUAUUAAAUUAAUUAAAACGUUUAUUUAUGAAAACCAUGUUCUGUUUUUUUUAUAAUAUACAAGUAUUAUGUUUACAAUUAGAAGUUACUAUGACCUAGAAAUAAAAGAAUAAAAAAUUGUAGUUGAAAACUGAAGGCAAAUUUGAGUGACUUAUAUAGAAUUUCUCUUAAAAAUGCUUAAAUGGAAUUUAAAUGAAGGAGGUUGCUUAGAAACGUGUGACUUAGCUUGUUGAACUCUAGGCGAGUGUGUGGUAUGGUUAUAAAAACGUUUGGAGCUUAGUUUGAUUAGUGUGGUUGGAGAUUUUGUGAGGGCAACAUUAUCGGGAGUAUCUUAGCCUAUCUUAGGGGGCUAAGAUAUCAUGGUUUUUGCAAAGGAAAUAUCUUAUAUAUUCUCAAAGGUUCAGGAUAAGCUAAAGGUUUAGAAAAUGUCUAGAUAUCUCUUUGUCUCAUAAGAUUCGCCCUGGUUUGUAACCCCGAGGUUCAUUCAACGUUGGUGCUCUAUAUGGAUGAGGGUUUCUAGCCAUGGCUUGUGACUCCGAGUUCUUCUAAGAAGCAUACAUGGCUGGCUUUGAAAACCCUUUAUGCCGUGGUACAACAUGCAUCUAUCUUCAAAACUCUUUUAAGGGACCUUCAUCGAAACCCAAUUACUACCAAGUUGGAGCAUGGGGCACGGUUGCUAUUUUUUUAUUUUCUGAAAAUAUUGCUUAGGAAUAUUGCUUAAAUAUUAUAUAAAAAUAAUAUUAAAUUGAAAAUCAUACAUCAUAUAAUAAUGUUACAUAAAAAAGGCUUAAAAAUUGUUUUCACAGAUUUGUUAAAAGCCCUUAAAGGCAUUCCUAAAACAUAUAUAUACAACAUUUCUUUGACUUUGUUAUAUAAUUAAUAUAUACCUUAAUGUUAUUUAUACAUUUUAUAUAGUAAUUACAUGUAUAACAAACAGAUCUGAAUUUCGAAACCCUGCUUUAAUUUCAAUUCCACAUAUUGCAUGCUUUUAUUAGAAUCUUUAAUUGAUAUAUAUGGAUAAAAACACAAAAAAGAAUGUAACUAAGCUUUAUUUUUAAAAACAACUCCGAAAGCUCAGUUUCAACAUAAGCAACAACAACAACAAAAAAAGAAGACAGAAACACAAAAAGAAUGUGAAUUAAAAAGAGAAAGAAAAAAAAACAAAGCAAAAGCAAAAGAGAGUGGAGAGUGGUAAGGCUCCACACUCAAACUCUUCACUCUCACUCCUUUCUUUUCCUCUCUUACCACUUUCCCCAAUAUGGCUCUCUUUCUCCAAACUCUCUCCUUCCUCCUCCUUCUUCUCUUCCCUUCCUCCACUGCCAUGUGGUGCGUUGCUCGGUUCGACGUUACAAGCCAAGCUCUUCAGGCUGCUUUGGACUACGCAUGUGCCGCUGGAGCCGACUGUGCACCUAUCCAACCUAAUGGUCUUUGUUUCCUCCCUAACACCGUUCAAGCUCACGCUUCUUACGCUUUCAACAGCUAUUUUCAACGUGCAGCCAUGGCUCCUGGCUCAUGCAACUUCGCCGGCACAUCUACAGUCGCAAAAACUGAUCCUAGUAUGUAUUUUACAUAACCAUAGUUAAACAAGAUUGAAUAACUUAGUAAAACUGUUAUAAUAGUUUAUGGUGUUUAUUGUUUUUUGCAUUCUUCAUGUUUUAUACAUUUUUGCUCUAACUUAGGUUUUUGUUAUUGUGUAUAGGUUAUGGAUCAUGCGUGUAUCCAAAUUCUGUGCGGUACGUAACUUUUAUGGAUGUGUUUAUUUUGCAUAUUACAUGUAUAUAUACUCGUAUGCACUAAGUAGUAUUUUUUGUUCUUUCUAUAUUUACUGUUCGUUUCUAAUAUAUUUACGUUCUUAUAGUUUUCUCUGGUAAAAGAAAAAGCUAGCUCACGAUAUUUUCAUUCAUUUGACUGAGAAUGAUAUGAUUCUAUUCAUGCGUCGUACGUACUAAUUUGCAUGACUUUUUAUAUGUAUAUCACAUUCGAUGAUUCUGGACCGUUGGAUGAUCUUUAAGAGUAAUCAUUCAACGGUAGAGAUAUUUGUUUGCUCAUCUUUAGUUCUGUAUUCUGUUUAUGUUCGUUAGUCAGAAUGGUACAAGUUUCUAAAUAAUUAAGAGAAAAGAAAGAAAAAAAAAAAAAAGAGAAAAAGAUAAAGAUAAAAAGCGUGUUGCAGUGUUUUACUUUAGAGAUUUCGUGAAUAACAAGUUUAUACAAGUUGAUGAUGUUAUUUGCAUUUUACUUAUAUUGUAAAAAGAUUCUUGAUUCUAAAUUUGUUUCUUUUUUCCGAUUUUUAAUCAUUUUCCUAAAAACAUCUACUUUAUAAAUUUAUAUCAAAUGUUUUAUGUUGUUUAUAUAUUAAGCUAUCAGUACUCGUAUCAUCAUUUUAAAAUUUGGAUAACGAAAAAUAAUGCAUUAGUUUCUAAGUCAAGUGAACAAGACAAUAAUGUUCUGAACUGUUUUGGUUUGGUCAUGGCAGCAACGCUGGAGGCUCAGCUUCGACUACCACAAUGGGAGGAACACCGAGAACAACCACUGGAAACAGUCCAAUGACGACACUGAGGCCACCAUCGUCUGGCACCACGACAUCACCGUUUGGAAUAAGUGGCGGUGGACUUAAUCCAGAGGGAACCACUACCACUAACACCGAUGAGUCUGGAGCUUAUGUAAUAGACAAGACUACUAGUACUGUCUCUAUAGCUUUAUUGGUUGCCUUACUUUUGUGGUUUAUAUAGGUGUUAAGUAGAUUCUUGUCGUAGAAUAUAUAUGUACGGUUACAACAUUUUUGUUAAAUGGGUUUUGUUAGUGAAUUGUUUCAUAAAAGUCUCUUUACAAAAAAAAAAGAGUUCAGAUCGCUAUUUUUGUUUUCUUUGUUUCUAACACAUAUUAGCACUUUUGGGUUUCAUUUGCAAGAAUUAUCAUUUUGGGGAGAUAUGAGUUAUGCCACUUUUUAAAAAUCAAAUUGGAGAACGGAGAUUUGCUAAAACAUUUAGCAAGAAUUAUAGUUAUAAGCCAACAUAAUUUACAAUUUACCUUCAUCACUAAUUCCAUUGGAAACAAAAUAAUUUCGUCAAUUUAGCGGUCAAAAUUCAGAUAAACGUGCGGAUUUUUCCUAUGUUGCAUGGAAGCGGAAACGGAUACGCGGAAACGAAACGUUUCGGAAACGAGAAACGAGUUUUUUAUGAAAUUAGGAUAUGGAAACGUGUUAGAAACGCUAAUAAUAUAUACAUAUAUCUAUAUAUAUAAUAUUAACAUCAAACAUCCAAACUAUAUUAAUUUUAAAAUUAUUUGAAAUAACACGUUAAUCAAAAUAUAUAUACUAAAUAAUUUAACUAAAAGAUAAAUAUUAAAACAUUGAAAUCCAAAAUUUAUAUAUUAAUAUAUCAUAUAUUAUUGUAUAUGUGUAUUUAAAUUGAAUUAGUCAGGUUUUAAAGUUAUAAAAGUAAUCACUCUAUAUAUUAUAAAUCAAAAUUUUUGUUUAUUGAGUUUCUAAAUUAAAAGUUUAAGAUUUCGUCGGGUUUCCAAAAUGGAAACGCAAAUUUCUAUUGUGUUUCUAAAUAAAAAAAAUUUGGAAUCGUGUUUCCGUUAGAAUUUCCGAGUUUCCAAGAGUUUCUGUUUCCGAAACGUUUCGGAAACGGGAAACGCACUUCGAAAAGAGUUUCCAUGCAACCUAGGAUUUUUCUAACCAUGUAGUCUGACUCGGGUCGCAGCCAUUAAUAAUAACUUUAAAUUUUGGCCCAUUUCCAAUAAAAUAUGCUUUAGCCGGAUCAUUUAAUCUCCUCGUUUUUUUAUAUUUAAUUCACAACUAUAUUAAAAUAACUUCGAAUUAAUAAGAAAUAUAUAUAUAUAUAUAUAUAUAUAUAUAUAUAUAUAUAUAUAGUAUAAUUGGUUAUGUCAUGGUAAUAGCUGUUAUGCUGCUUGUUUAUUUUUAAGUCAAUAAUUGAUAAUUAUUUCAAUGAUAAGUGUAGUGGUUAUAUUAUCCCAAAAUCAUGCUCAAGGUAACAUCAAACUUUGUGAGGUUAUGUAUGGUUCUGUCUGCAUAGAAGAACCAAUACCUACAUUCCGGUAAUUUUUCUUAUGCACAUCAGAUAACUUAAAAAGUUGGAUUCCCUAACAACCCCAAGAUUGUUAUACGAUCAUGCAUAUUUUUUUUUUUGUCGUACGAUCAUGUAUAAACUACACAUCAAUCCGCUUGUCAUUUUGGUAAUAGAAAUGCAUAUAGUAAGACAAUAGAAUUGAUGAGUGAAAAACAAUAGAAUUGUGAGAAGCAAACUUAAAAUGAGUAACUAUAUAAGUUCUUCAUCAACAUUGCAUCAACAAAUGAAUGUGCCACCAUAAGCUAGUCUAAACCAACAACAGAAGUAACAAAAGGGUACCUUGAGAUAUCACAUCUCCACCCAAGAAUAUAGUUGGUAUACAAAGAUCUAUGUAACUUAUAAAAUCUCAUAAUUAGAUCCUCUCUCAAGGAGUCUUCCUGGAUAAAACUGUUAUAUCUUACUUUCUAUAAAGAUAUUUUCUUAAGGAAAUAACACCUCUAAGAUAUCUCUCUUAAAAAAUAGCCCAACCCAAAUGUAAACGGUCCAACCAAGCACUUUCCAUAUAGCAACUAUCUUCCUACUCAUUUUGGAGAUCAAAAUUCUUCACGUUCCAAGCGAAAAUUAUAGUCACCUAAUUUGUUUUUGACGAGACUUGUAACAUCUUUUACUUUUACCUCUUGAUUGGUUGGCGUAGUAACAAAUAUAUUAUUUUACUCGUGCAUAUAAUAAUUCAUUUUGCUCUUUGUUAAAUUUUGGUUAAAUUAUCAAUAAAAAAUAAAACAAAUUAAAGAAACAAAAUCUGGGAAAAUAAAUGAAAAAUAUUUGGAUUCAUCCCUAAGGAUAUUGAGCGACUUUUAUUCACACCCUCUUAAUUAUGCAAUCAAAAUAUAAUAAUAUGUCAUGUCAUAAAAUAAAUAAAAAAUAAAUAAAAUUACAAUAAGGAAAAUAAAACAAAUUAAAGAAACGAAAUCUGUAGUUUUUUUUAUUACAGAAACUUUAUUUCGGCUUGGAUUUAUAGUAGCCUUAUAUUUUAUUUACAUGAAUUGAAGUACCAAAAUAGUGUAAAUUGAUCUUAAAAAGUUGACCUCUAAACAUAGUUUACAAAACUGAGAUUUUAUUAAACAAAAGCAAAAUAGUUUUCAUAAAAUUGAAUAUUAUAAUUUUUAUUAUUAAACAAAUAUGUUUAUGGAUAUUAUCUUUUUGCAUUCUAUUAUCAAAUUCGGAGUUCAAUUUUUUGCCACCAAACCAGGGUUAAUGCCAUUCAGAACAUUAAGAUAUUAUGACUAUACACUAAAAUAAUGAGUAAAUGCAUGAUAAGCAUUUAUUAUCUUUACAAUAUAACACUAUGCACUUAAAUAAUAGGACUAUGUAAUAAAAUGACGAGUAAGUGCAUGAUUAUCACAUUAUCUUUUAAUUUUCACUAAUAUAGCUAUAAUAAGUUCUUUUACUUUUUGUUUAAAUGCGUAAUUUAUUUUAAAAAAAUAUGUACAAAAGGUUUCAAGAGGUCGAGAACAAUAAUCAAUGGAUCAAAGUAAAGAGAGCCAUAACAGAACCAGUUUAAAUGAGAGGGAGGCAGCUCAAGGCAUGAGCAUGUUCUUUUAGCUUUAUGUGGUUGCAUGACACCCAAAGUUCUAUUAAGUGUGUUUAGAUUUUCUCAUCUUUUUUUCAGUGUAUAUGCUCUCACAUUAUUUAUUCUCAUCUUUGAUUUAAUAUUUAUUAUAUAUUCACAAACUAUCAUAAAUAAAAUCUAAAGAGCAUUAAACGUAAAUAAUAUGUACAUAAAAUUUAUCUUGUUCAUCCAUAUAAGAAAAAAAUAGUUACUUAGACGGAAUAUAAAAAUUUCAAAGUCUUAUAAAUAAUAUAAAUAAGAUAUAAGUUUGAUGCUUAACGGUUUUUUUAUACGAGUGUUUAGUAUGGGACAUAAUAAUCCUCAUAAACGUUAUUAGCUAUAAUAAGACGUGUAUUAACCAAAAAAAAUAUUAAUUACUUUGUAACUUUAUGCAGUAAAUUUGUAAUAGAAAAUACCUCUUUUGAGAAGUUUUCAAAUGUUUUAUUUCUCAAAAAAAAAAACUCUUUAAUUAUGCUUUCAUUGAAACUCUUAUACAGAUACAAAUAAAAUCUAAUAGUUAUUCAAACUAAAAUUUGGGCCUAAGUAAUAAAAUCGUACAUUGGUUCAGAUAUAAAUUUCAAAUUAAUUAAGAAAUAGUAUUUCUCAACCAUUCUCCAUUUUAUUAUUUUUAUCUAAUUUAUAUUUAUCUAUUCAAACUCCUAAUUAACAUUUUCAAGAAUAUCUAUGUUGUGAUAUUACGCGGUAUAAGACUUUCUGCGUUUUCAUAAUCUUCCAUGAGUGAUUACAAUCGUAUAACACCAAAACAUCAAACAUAUAUAUAUAUCUCCUAUUAAAACAGAAUAUUUUUAUUCAAAUCCUAAUAAUGAUUAAACUAUCACUAUCCAAAAAAAAAUGAUUUAACUAUGGAGGAUACUACAGGGUAUAAUACUUUGGUCCAUAAGUUAAUUAUUAUUUUUAAAUAUAUAUAUAUAUAUAUAUAUAAUUAUAGUAUAGUAAAAUGAUCGAUUUUCUACCAUAAAUAUUGUAGGAAAAUGAUAAGAAGUAGGAAUGUUAUAUCGCUUUCCUAUGAAAAAAUGUCCCUCAAAAAUUUUAUGCUGGCAAGAAUUUCAUAUAAAAGUGGUAAACAAAAUUAUUAUUUUUCUACCAAAUUCUUUAUAUGAAAUACAUCUUAUCGUUUUCCUACUAAAUAUUUUCAUUUACCAAAAUUAUAAGUGAAAUAUGUGAUUUUGUUAGUAGUUAUAUUAUUAGAUACAAAACAUAUACAGUUAACUGUUUGUGAUUAAUUCAUAUAAGUUGAUAUUACUUUGGGUAUGAUUGUCUUAAGUGGAUGCAAGAUCCAAAUUUAAAAAUCAUUUAUAUUUAUCCCUUUAAAACACACAUAAAUUACUACAUAAGUAUUUUGAAAUUUUCUUUCCUAUCAAUUUAUUAAGAUUAUUAUCAUAAUAUACAUUUUUUGCAUAGACAUACAUAUUAGGGACAAAAAAAAUUUGUAUAGCGCUUAUCGAAUCAGAAAAUUUUCACACUGUUGCUUGUAUUUUUGACCUUCAAUAUUACAAAGAAAGAAAAUUUCACUUUAAUUUUACAUUUUAUUUUAUAUUUUUUAAUGUCAAUGGUAAAUGAACCAUUAGAGAAAAAAGAAAAAUGUUAAAACCACAUCAAACCAUAAACACUUACUCAAAAACACUUCUCACUUUCUCAGUAACUAUAAAACGAUGUCGUUUCACUAUCCGCUCACAACACACGUGGCACAUCUAGAGUCAAACCCCAACCGCACAGACAAAGAACUCAAAUUCCAAUCCUAUCUCCAUCACCAAACCACUCUUCUCUGCUUCGAUUUCGAGUAAAAGAUCAAACAAAAGUCUCAAUCUUUUUUUCUGGGUUUCUAGUUUAUCACCAAAUCUAGCUUAAACAAUGAUUCACUAAACUCUCUGCUUCCGUGGAUUCAGAGUAAAAGAUCAUGAAGCUCAUAAGCUUGAGCAAGAAUGCUAAUUCAACAGCAGCAGUAGCUGUAUCUUCAAUACGGAAACUCCAAUUCCUCUCUUUGUCUGAAUCUUUGCCUUGUCCGAAGAUUUCGACUAAACCCACGUGUCGUCCUUGUAAGUUACUCCUCCUAAGAAUUUGAAAGUUCAAGACUUUGCUUGCCAAGUUUCGAUUUUGAUUCCAUGGAUUCACCAGAGAAACUAUACUUAAUUUGAUUUUGAAAGUUAAAAAUUUUGUAUUACUUGUUCAUAUGGAAUUGAAGCUUUUUUAAGAGUACGAUUUGAACAUUUCUAGUACUAACUAGUUUUGUAGUGAGAUGUAGACGGAGACCAAAGUUGGAUUUGCUCUGGGGAAAAUUUAGAGUUCGUGCAUCAGAUGCUGGUGUUGGAUCCGGGAGCUAUAGUGGUGGUGAAGAGGAUGGAUCUCAAAGUAGUUCUCUAGAUCAAUCUCCUGCUAGUUCGUCAGAAAGGUAACAAGUUCAUAUUUGUUUCAGUUACCAAGGGAAUCAACAUUGCUAAUUUUUAGAGCCUAAGAGUAUAAUUGUAAACAAUAUUAGCAGUGAAGUGAAGCUUCAAAGUUGAAAACUGUGUCCAAGUGUGAAAUACAUUGAUAUGGAUCUGUUUUUGUGUGGUCUGCUUAUUUUGUGUUUAACCCUUGUUUGCUGCAUCAGCAAGAAACGUUUAAAGGACAUAAAAGACUGGGAACUAAAAAUAUAUCAGGUUCUUAUAUGUAUCUUUCAUGUUUUUCUUGGAGUGAAAGCAUACUGAGUUGGGAAUCUAGUGCUAUUGGUGUUUAUGUGUCUGUAAGAGAGCAAUCUCAGUUGGGAAUAACGUUAGGCAUUUAGGUUCCUGUAAAGUUAUUUGAUUUAAUAAGUCUAUUGUGUAAUAAGGUUAAUUGAAGCUUAUGUGGGUCUACUUCUCUAUUGAAAUGUAUAUGUGAUUCUUGCAUCUUCAUUGUAUCGGUGCAGCUUAAAACCUCAGGGGCCAUUCCCUUACUCUUUAUCGAUAGCACUUGUACUAUUAAGUUGCGGUUUGGUAUUUUCUCUAAUCACUUUUGUGAAAGGAGGACCAUCCUCAGUUCUAGCAGCAGUUGCAAAGUCAGGCUUCACAGCUGCCUUCUCACUGAUAUUUGUUUCCGAGAUUGGAGACAAGGUAAUCUACAUAUGUGUCUUUCUAUUUUGAAGCUCGUCGCCUUUAGAUUACUUUUAUGUUAUCUGAAUUUUUGUGUAUGUAAAUAUCGUACCCUCACUUAACUGAGCAUGUGAUCUCACUUAUGUCGUUUUUGGUUGGCCAGACAUUUUUUAUUGCGGCUUUGUUGGCCAUGCAGUAUGAGAAAACACUGGUAAGUUUUCUGCUAAUAGUUCUCUCUUACUCCCUUUGAACCUUUUGUUGUAAUUUAUGAUGCUGAUGUUAUUGACCUUGGAUUUCUUGACAAGGUCCUUUUAGGUUCAAUGGGAGCUCUAUCUUUGAUGACUAUCUUAUCGGUUGUUAUUGGGAAGAUAUUUAAAUCAGUGCCUGCUCAGUUUCAGACAAGUAAGUUAUCCAAGGUUUCUUAAUCCUGAAGCUGUCACUUUGCUCAUACAAAGUUUUAUGAUAAAGAUAUGAUGAGAUGCUUCUCUGUCCUUGAACAGCACUACCAAUAGGAGAAUAUGCUGCAAUUGCGCUUCUCAUGUUCUUUGGAUUGAAAUCUAUUAAGGAUGCAUGGGAUCUUCCACCAGCAGAAGUCAAGAAUGGUGAGGAAAGCGGUAUCGAACUUGGUGAAUAUUCUGAAGCUGAGGAACUUGUGAAAGAAAAGGCGUCUAAAAAGCUCACAAACCCACUUGAGAUCCUCUGGAAAUCAUUCAGCCUUGUGUUCUUUGCGGUAAGAAAGAAGAAUUUGUAUGCAUUUGUCAAGAACCUUGACUGAACCAUCUACAUUAUGAUAAUUGGGGAUUCUUUGAUCUAACCAGGAAUGGGGCGAUCGAUCAAUGCUUGCAACUGUUGCGCUUGGUGCUGCACAGGUUUGAUUUGUACCCAUAACACCACAAGGUUUACUUCAGUAAACACUCAACCUAUCAUUUCUCUUUUAAUUAUGUGUUAACAGUCUCCAUGGGGAGUUGCAAGCGGAGCUAUUGCUGGACACUUAGUGGCAACUUUGCUUGCAAUCAUCGGCGGCGCGUUCCUUGCCAACUAUAUCUCUGAGAAACUGGUACGAGCAAAUGCUUACAUAAGUCCAUUUACAGAAACCGAAUUGUUCACAGACUAAUGAUAUAUUGAUGGCCUUUUGAUGCAGGUGGGCUAUGUGGGUGGAGCUCUCUUCUUAGUUUUUGCUGCAGCUACUUUCUUUGGAGUAUUCUGAGCUGAGUGAACGGUCUUAUUCUUACUUCUUUUGUUGGAAUCAAAGCUGGAAAGCAAUAAACCAAACCCUUGUAACAAUAGUUGUUGGAAUAAUCACAAAAAGGAAACAUUCUUAAUUACGAAUGGCAUCACACAUUUCACACACAUUCAUUCAUUCAUUCACAAGUUCUAAACAGUUCUCAGUAUUUUAGGUGAACAAUGAUCCUCAACAACAUCUCUGCUCCAUCAACAAAGUGUUGCCCUGCUGGAAUCAACGGCCUAACCUCUGCGAACCCGCAAGCGUUCUUAAACCUCCCGGUUCCUCCAGUUACAGACAGAUGUGACAUGGUGCUUCCAAUCCUAUAAAUUCCAUAGAAAUUGAGAUUAUCAUUGUACUCUCCACCUUCAAGCAUAACUGUGAAAGCCAUCAUCUGUGUGCUUCCAUCGGCUGAGCUAGCAACAUAAACCCCUUGAGCCUUACCAAGUGGCUGUGACCCCAAGUCAGGACCGGAUGUGACUAUGUCGUCAAUCACCGUGAUCGUUCCGAACCCAAGACUAAGACCAUCAGGACCCAACUGUGUCUGAAUCCCAUUUAGAUUCUGACCAGAAAACGCUGUUCCAGACAAACCAGUACCUAAAGGAAUACCGGUUAUACCAUUAGCCGUUGGCAUAGCGCCAUUUGCAUUGGGUAUAGCUACACUGUCUUGGGGUGGAACGAAACCGAUCGGCUUAGCGAAUGGUACUUGACCGUUGUAGAUAUUUCCAAGCAAACCAGUAAUAGGUCUUGCCGUAGGACUGCUCCCGCCAAGUAUAUCGUGCAUGUACAAUUCGAAAAUCGGGUCUUCAGGUGCAGGAUUGAGUGCAGUUGCUGCAGUAAAAAGAGCAACUAUGAGAAAGAUUGACGUUGAAAGUGAUUUAAUCAUCUUGGACGUUUUGGAUGGCUCUUGGUUUUGUUUUUCAGGAAAUAUUUGAAUGAUUUGAGAUUUUGAUGAAUUGGUCUAUAAAUACAGAGGAAAGUGAUUAAGUGAAGUUGUUUGCAUAUUUUAGGAUUGUGAAGUUGUUCAAAUGGGGAGGUUACUAUGGCCUUGUGUUCACUUUAUGUUAUUAAUUUUAUUUUUGAGACUUAAUCCGAUUUGGGUGGUUUAGGUUUGUGAGCUAUGGCCAACAAAAGUCAACUCUCUUGUUUCUAAGGGUACCUUACUGAUACGAACAGAUUAGGUGAUAUUUUUAAGGUAAUGACUAAUCGUGAAGAUUCUACAUUGAAAUUGCUACUUUUCAUAAACAGUAUUCAAGCCAAGCCAGGCACAUAGGCAAAUACAUUGGAUAGAAAAACUAAAUUUUCUUUUGAGAAAGUUGUCUUGGUCUCUUGGAGACAGUAAGAAUUGCACUAAAACCUGAUCAAAUUAUAGAAUUUGUGCAAAGGAAAAAAAAAUCAAAUUCUCAAGGUAACUGAUCUACCACCUUACUAGAGAAGGUUGAGGAUAUCACCAAAUAUUUUAAGGAUAUCCAUUUUUUUGAAAAAAACGGAUACAAAUACGGAUAUCCGUGUAUAUAAUUUUUUAAUCUUAGACUAACUUUUAGUCCAUUAACUUGACUAAAUAUUAUUAGUUAAUGUUCCUACUAAUUUUGAAAUAGAAGAAGAGGCCAAUAACGAGAUUAAAAUGAUAUGGAGAAGGAACAAGUGUGCUAGUAGUUUUUACCUCUCUGUUGCAUUCUCAUCAUAUCUGGGUUAGAGCAUGGUCACUUUCACAGAGAGACUUAUAAUUUGUAUGUUUGAACCUUAAACGAAAGUAACAUACAAUAUAUAAUAUUUUUAAUUUCUAUUUUUUUUAUAUUUGUAUAAUUUAUAUAGUUUGAAAUAUUUUUAUAUAAUUAAUCGUAUUUGAAAGUUUUAAUAUCCAAAUCAUAUUAUAUCAAGCUAAAAUUAUCUUUUAAAACUUUCUUCACUUAUCACCACGACCUAUAUCAGCCUAACAUUGUCAAUGGUUAUCACAAAGUUUAUUACUAUACCGGGGAGAGUGAAGAGGUCAAAUUUAUUCAAUCAGCCUUAAUUUUCUCAUUUUAUCAUAAUAUCUCAUUUUGAAAAAGUGCCAUACAAUGAGGAAAAAUAAGGUUUCGCUAAUUAAUAUUGUUUCAUGUGUCAUUGUUACUGUGGUAAGCGUUUGCAUCAGCGAAGAGGUUUUAGUCAUUCACGAAUAUGAGAAAGAAAGACAAAUGCAAAUAAAAGAAGGGACAUUCUCUAAAAUACCAUCAUUUUUGUUUUUAGAACACAAAUACCACAACACUAAAAUUAAAUUUUAAAUUUUCAUACUUUAAAUUCUAAAUUCUUUAACCCUAUCGCCUAAAUACUAUACCCUAAAUUGCUAAUAAUUAACCCAAAUCAAAGAUUUAAAAUUUCAUACCAUUGAACAAUAAUUUGAUUUUAGUGGUAUUUUUGGAAAGAAAACCAAAAUGAUGGUAUUUUGAGGAAUUCCUCUUAAAUUAUAUCAAGUCUAAAUAUAAUUAUGUUGUAUUCUUGGUUAGAUAUCAAUUCUACUCCGGUUCUUUUGGUUCUCUAUUUAUUUUUUGGUUCUGUUAUUUUGUCCAAGACGAUGGAUAAAACCAUUUUUAAUAGAUGUAUCUUAGCCAAAUAUUAGCCUAAGACCAACAUUAUUGGCGUUAGCUCCCUAAGAUAUUCCCAAUAAUGUUGCCUUAAAAUACCUCCACAUCGCAUACUAUAUACGCCAAAUAAUAGACUAGCAAAUGUUUAUAUAUAAAUGCCUCCUAAGAUAUUUUAUCAAAACCUCUAUAAGUUAUUACCGCUAGAACUUUGAUGAUUUAUUAAUUUAUCGAUGUUAAGUAUAUUAUAAAAGUUUAUUGUUUAAUACUAGUCACUUUCAAUAAAGAAAAAAGUUUCUAACGGUCUAAGCAAAAUUUUCAACAAACAUAACACCAAAAUUUGCUUCAAUUCAAUGAUUCUCUUUGAAAUAAAUUAUUUUACGUAUUUUCAAUAAUAAUGAAUCAUCAAAAUAUGCCCCAUGUAAAUAACACACGACUCAAUAAAAAUCAUGAAUUAACAUGUAGAAGGUUGUUAUCCAUUAUUAUUGUUAUCAAUUAUAUAGAAUAAUAAAUAUUUGAAAUUGUUAAAUAUAGUUUUUAAUAGUUUAAAUAGUCAAAAAGAUAAUAAAAAUGUUAUUUUUUUUCUAAAUGUACUCAUAUCCAAAUGAGUUAACUGGUUGAUUAAUACGAUACUAUAAAAAUUUAAUAGGAGAUAUAAUAAUGAAGCUAGAGAUGUAUAAAUUGAUCAUACCAUUGACAUCGACCAUUCAUCGAUGGUAUUAUCUACAGUGAGACCGUAUUUUCUCAACAUGUUACUAUAACCUCCACCGCUAAAAUGACCACCGACACCAACCGUCGGACAAAUCCCACCGGGAUAAGCUAGGGUUUUGCUCUUCUCCCAUAUAUUGUAAUAAACCUCUCCGAGGACCGGUUUGAACCCACGCGGUUUUGCUAACCACGUCGACAUCAACCGACCGGAGAUUAAACAUGUCAAGGACAAAGAACGGUUCACGAGAGUACGUAACGUACGACAAGCCAUCGUAGUCGUGGCCACCGCUUCUUAUUUUUCAUCUGAAGGUUGUUGCGUUUGCCGCAAGUAACCGCGGCUUGGACGUGUGAUUCAUGUGUUGUGGCGAUUAUAAGGAAGGGUUUUGGAGUGUUGGAGGUGUUGAAACGGAGGUUGCGUAUGUUGGCUUCUAAUACGGAGGAGUAGGAGCGGUUUCCGGCGAAUAACACGACGGCGGAGAUGGGAUGUUUGGGUUCGGAGUUUGAGGUUAGGCAUUGUGUGAAAGUAUUGGAUGAUGAGUUUGAUUCUUGUAUGAAGACGACGAAUAGUGGAAAAAGAAGUAAUAUGAUACUUACUACAAAAAAAAUGAGUGGAUUGAAUCAUUUAUUUUGUAACUUUACAUUACUUAUAAAUGAUAUAAUGAAUUUUACAUCACUUAUAAAAAUGAUACUUAUAUUGCCGAUGCAAAUAAUUUACAUCGGUUUUUACUCAACUGAUGCAAAGAAAAAAAAUUGUAUUAGUUCUUAUAACUGAUAUUAAUAAUGAGUCAAUUUGUAAAAGUGAUGCUAUUAUUUGUGUCAGUUAUCAUAAUCGAUCAAUUAUAUAUAUAUCAAUUUCAAACAAACUAAUAUAAUUAAUUUAAAAAAUAUAAUUAUUAAUUACGAAAUAAUAUACUUAAUUACGAAAUAAUUAUUAUUAAACUAAAAUAUUAAUUAAUUUUAAUAUAUUUACUAAUUAUUUGUUCGUUUGUUAUUUUUCCUAAUAUAUAGCAAAAUUAUGGUUUGAACGUUGAAGUAAAGAAAAAAUAUAUGUUUUUUUUAGGGUUUGAACGUUGAAGUAAAGAAAAAAUAUAUGUUUUUUUCUUGUGUAAAAAGAAAAAAUAUAUGUUUGCGUUUAUGAAUGUUAAAAAUGUUAAAAACUUAAAUGAAAGAUUAUAACAAAAGGGUUUGCUUAAAUUUGAGAGAAACUCAAUUUUGUUUUUAAUUGGGUAUGCAAUUUUUUCAAAAUCUACCAAACUAUGAAGACCUUAUAAAUUAAUUAUUUGAGAAAGUUGAAGUUGAAGUGGAAAUCAUUAAAUUUGAGUUGACUUUCAUUAAAAUCAUGAGAGAUUUGACUAACUUUUAGCAUAACGAUUAUUUUGGUUCUAUUAAUUACUUAUAUUACGGAAUAUAAAUAUAGAUGGCAAAUAUUCGAUUGGGACAUUUUACUAUUAUUAUAUAUAUAUAUAUGUAAUUUUACAUAAAUAUUAAUUUAUGUCACUUAUAGAUGAUAUAAUAAAGAUGUACAUAAAUUAUUAAUUUGGAAAAACCCAUUAUCUUCUCAAGUUCUCAUCCAUGGUUGUAGUCAUAACGUACGUUUCCAAAUGCCUCCAUAAACUACUUGAAAGUUUUUCCAACCAAAUUAGAUAGAAUUCAAUUGAAGCGGCAGGAUUGGCCACUAUUGACAUUUGAAAAGAAAAACAUGACAAAUCCAUUAUCUUCUUCUCCACCAAGCAUUAGAGCAAGAUGAUUCUGGAAAUGUUCAUGUUGUCAUAUUUUUAUUCUAGUUGAUAAAUAGACUUUACUUAUAAGCAUAUUUGUUUACUUAUACAUUGUGUGAGACCCUGGUUUGUGUAGAUGUAUAAAUGAAUUGAUUUGUUCACAUAUAUCACCAAAGUGUAUUUAUCGUUUCGGUUAAAGGUCCUGAGAGAAUUCCAAGGUUAAGCGUAUUUAUGCUGGAGUAGUUUAGAAAUAAGUUACAAGUCGACACCAGUGAUUUGUGAGCGCAAAUAUGUGUUUUUGAUUGCCUUGUUUGGCUGUUUUGGUAUUGUUGAUAUGUGGUUGUGAUCUUUGCUUAUGUGUAUAGCCCAAUAGAUGGGAAAAUCGUUUCACUGAGUAUUAUUGGUUUCCGCUGAUUACUUGUUGGUUUAAUCCAGUUAGGUUUACCUCUACAAGAGGAAAAGAAAACAUUUCAGGCAAGAAAAAAUCAUUUCUUAGCACUUAAAAUUGAUCAAUUUAACUUUUAUUGAUUAAGUGUUUAAACCAAGCAAAGAAGAACAAAAAAAAGAAUUUAAUAGAUCCAGCAGAUCAUUCAUGCACUGUCUAUAUGGUUAGUCAUACAAUACACUUUUAAUCUUUGUUUUAUAUGCAUUGUAAUAUAAGUGUUGUUCAUUUCGUUGUAGUCUUGUAGAGAUAAGUUAUGAGAGUAAAGAGAAACUGAGAGAGCUUUAUCGGCGAAAUGUGACCCAUGGGCUCACCUCUUUUAAUGGGUCUCACGUCCUUUCACUAGACCUGUGAGCCCAUCCAUAUUUGACGGCCAUGUUACUAUGUCCGGGUGGCUUAAAGAGUAGUUUACCGACCCUACAAGUCACCACAUUAUCGUUCUCUGCGUCUUAGCUUCAUUCACAGUGUUCUCACAAUCACUUCUUUGAAGUACAAACAAGUUUUUUCGGGACGUGAGUGAUCUUCCGGGAAGUGGUUGUCGGAACCUUGUGAGUAAGGCCAAAACACAGGGAAAGAUCAUGUGCCGAUUUGUAGAAUUGGUAAACAACUCUUUAAGCCUCCCAGACAUAGCAUAUCGGCCGUCUGGUAUGAAUGGAGUACUCACGGGCCUAGUGAGAAGACAUGAUGUCCGAGAGGUGGGCCCCUAGGCUGAGUGUGAACAUGGGGCCCACUGGGAUAGGUGACAGUCAGAGCGUUACAAUGGACAACUAAAAGAAGACCAUAUAAAUCAGUUUCUUAAUAUGUUACCAAUUAUAUAUCGUUCUUCUCCACUUCUACAUGCCCUUUAGAAGACUCUAAACAAAGAUAAGAAGACAAAAUACUAUGUUUACUCUUUUGUCUUCCAUUACGAUCAUGAAUUAAUUCCUCCAACAUUUCGAAGAAAAAAGAAAGUAAAACUAACGACUGAUCAUCUCUGUGAUUGUAUUAAAAUAUGUACAAUUUGGAAGAAAAUUGUAUGCUUUCUUUACUCAAGACUUGGCAUCACAAAUGAUACCAUAUAAGGAACAUAAGUCAUUGUUAUUCAUCAAUGCCUGCAUGAUUUAGUCUUUGUAUCCUAAGCUCAUUCUCAAACCGCAUAAGCUCAUCCCCUUAGUCUAGAUGGCACAAGCGUUUUGUAGGAGAAACAAACGUGUUUGUGUCAAAAAAAAUGAAACGAGGAAAUGGAAAACAAAUAGAACGAUGAAGAGGGCUCAUUUUUAGACUGAAUGUAAGUAUAUAAGAUAUAAACUACAUUGACUUGAUGAGGGCAAGUAUAAAAAGAUCAAGUGACGUAGAGCUUAAAUGACCUCUUCUAUUAAUAAUAAUGUAUCUGCAACGGAAAUUGAUCCAUUGUAACCAUUGUAAUAAGUCUCUCAAAAUCCUCAAAACAUAGGCUUCAAUUGGUAACAGCGCAUAAUCGCAUAAUGGCAUAAUGGCAUAAUCGAUUUUUGAUAAAUGUGCAUGAAAAGAGGUUAACAUUCAUGAUUCAGUUUAAUUUUUUUCCAACUGCCGAAUUUAAUGAGCUUAAAACUGGAAAAGGUUGAGAUCUAUAUUCCCGAGGAUUUAUCGAUAAUGGGAUGCGUAAACAUAUCGUAGAGCUAUUCUUAAUCCAAGAAAUGAUUGCUUUUAUAAAUUAAAUAAGUACAUGCUUUCUCAUCUACAAUCCACGAACAACAUGGAAGGGUCUAUUCAUGAAGUUGCAAGAGACCAAAUAGAACACUCCAGAACACUAUCUUAAUAUCAUACUAUAUCACUAGAAUGAGAGAAUAUGAGUCUACCAAGAUUAUAUACAACACAACUAGGGUACAGUGUCCCUUAUGUACGUGCCAAAACGUUGGUUUCUGAGUGCUGAAGUAAUGAGUUUAAAAGAUAUGGUAUUAGUUUGUUUAUUUUGUUUCACCUUUUUAGUUCUUUAUUUCCACAUCUCAAGUGCUUUUGUGUAUGUUUGGUUCAAUGCCACUAGAAGACUAUAAUGUAAUAUUGUGGUUUAAUUAAAGAGAUUGAGUUUUGGUUGUUAUGAGUUUAACAUUGAGAUUUGGUCGAGGCAGCUCUGAUAGCAGUAUAAAAGCAAAAGCGUAUAUAUAUAUAUAGUCUUCGCUCAUUACAACCAAGUUGAAAUGCAAAGCUUACAUAGUAUUAACUCGUAAACGGAAAGUGACAUAUAUAACAAAAAAAAUUAUUUUCAUAUUUUAAUUUUAAUAGUUUAAAAUUUAUGGGGUCUCUAUAUAAACAAAAAAAUGUAUAUGAAAAUAUAAAAAUAUAAAUUUUCUGUACUUAUUAGUUGAUAUUUUACUUUUUGUGGUAAAAAUGAAAUCAUGAGAGAGACUAAUAUAAGUUAUUGUAAAUGAUAAGAUUAAAAUAAGCCUCAUCCAUAGACGUUGUGACAUCUGCUAAAGUAAAAAGAUAUAUAAAAUUUCUUACUUUAAGGAGGUAUUUUUUACUCUUUUUGGUCAAAAAUAAUUCAGAAGAGAUUAAAAUAAGAUACAUGUAAAUGAUAAGAUUAAAAUUAGUGAAGUCCAUACACAUUGUGACAUUUGUCAAACUCAAAAGAAAAUGUAAUUAGGGUUUAGGCCCCUUUUUCUUCUCUAUGCAUAUAUAUAGCCAAUCAUAAGACAAGAACGCCGUUCGAGGAGCGUCAAAGAGACAAACAUACGACAUGUAUCGUUUGUUUAAGAUGAAGAAGAAUCCAAAGGACGAGAAUGGUGUAGAGGAGAUGAGGAGACGUAGUGGCACUACUACACGCUCAUGACCUAAUCAUAUCUUCUAGGUAUAUUGUUCUUUCUCCUUUACCAUCUCUUUUUAAGAUGGCUUGGUUGAUUUAGUAUUUUCAGAACUGUUUUGAUAUAUGGUUGAUUGUAAUUAGGGUCUCCGGUGUUGAAGAUUAAGUAGAAUACAAAGGCGAGAAUGCUGUAGAGGAAAUAUGGUGGCACCAAAACAUCUUUUAGAUAUAUGCUUUACAGUCUCUCUUUACAAUGGCUUGGCUGAUUCAAUAUAUUCAAAAACUGUUUUUACUGUAUUUAGGAUAUCUUCUCUAUUCAUUUAUAGUCUCGAGACAUAUCACCUUUUUUGAAAUCCAUAACUGUAGGAGAAGUGUCACGCAGCCGCCCAAAAAGACUUAUCUCCGUUGUUGAAGAUGAAGAAGAGAAUCCCUAGGGAUGCAGGAAAUGUGGUGGCACGACACGCUCUUGAAUCCGAUCUUUCAAGUAUAUUCUUUUUACUCUUAUCUCCUCAUUUAUUAUAUAUUAUAUAUUUUUAAUAUAUUCACAUCCUUUUUAUACAUAAAUAUAUCCAAGCAUGUCGAGACAUAUGUGGUAGCACAACACAACAGUCAACAAGGUCACGACUUACAAAUCAUAUCUUUCAUGUAUAUCUAGUACCUACUUUACCACUUUUCUUAUGGUUGGUUCAAAUUUUCUCAAAACUGGUUGAGAUGUUGUAGAUUUUUGUGGGGUAAACAAUUAAGUGAUUUUGUGGGGUAAACAAUGAAUUGAUUUUGUAGAUAUCAAGUGCCUACUUUAUCACAAAGUAUGUUUACUUUUAUCUUUUCCUUUGCCAUAAUCAAUUGGUUUAUCCAACAUUUGAGGGAAAAGAAAAAUAAAAAUAAAAACUAAAAAUACAUCUAAAUUGCAUUAAAGUUAAACGUAGAAUUUGAAUCGAAGAAGACUGAAUGCUUGAUUUUCUUAAUCAAGCUGUUUUUUUUUACCGCAUGAGACACAAUGGAACCAAUCAUCAACAGCAAAUAGGUUUAUCCUAUUUCAAACCAAAUUUAUCACAGUUUAUUACAUAAUCUAGUUGGAAAGAAUAAUCACAAGAUUUACCAUCCUUUUCAUAUGAGCAGUAAGAAAGUCUUGUGAGAUGUCUUUUCAUCUAGCCUAUGUUUUGAAUAGUGGUAGAUAAGGACUAAAGGAAGAUAAGCCAUAUUGUGACGUUAAUGGAUGGUUUUAUUGUAUAUCAUGUGGUAAAAUGAACAAAUUGCUUGAGUAAAUAAAGCAUACAAUUUUCUUUCAAAUUGAAUAUAAUUUAAUACAGUCAUAGAGAUGAUUCUUUCGUUUUCCUCUCUUAUUUCUUCAAGAUGUUGGAGGAAUUAAUUGAUGAUCGUAAUGGAAGACAGAAGAGUAAACAUAUCGUGUUGUCUUCUUCUCGUUGCUUAGAUUCCUCUAAAGGGCACGUAGAAGUGCAUAAGAACUAUAUGAAAUUGGUGAAAUAUUUAAGAGGGAAAGUUAUUAUUAUGGAAAUAUUUCUUGUUCGCAUAUUGUUUACAUGAAAUGAAUUGCACCAAAUAAUUAGAGAAUAAUGAGUUUGAACCCAAAGCAAAGUGACAUAUGUAUUAUUAUUUUAUUUUAAAUUUAAAAUGUGUUCUUAAUAUAUAUAUAUAUAUAUAUAUAUAUAUAUAUAUAUAUAUAUAUAUUUAAAUUGUGUUCUUAAUAUAUAUAUAUAUGUAUAUCUAUAGUUUAUAAUAAAUUUAGAAAAAUAUAUAAAUAUAAAAAUUCUUUACUUAUUAGCUUUAUAUAUAGUAUUUGUCAAAAUCAUUACAAUUUGUGGUCAAAACUAAAUCAGGAUAGAUUAAGAUACAAUACAAGUAGUCCACAUACGUUGUGACAUCUGCCAAACUCUAAACAAAAACUGCAGUUAGGGUUUAGGCAUUGUUUCUUCUCUUAAUAAUCUAAGAAAAGUAUAAAUAUAACUUUGCUUUACUUAUUUGUUCCAUUUGUGGAACGACGAUCUAUUUCCCCCAGGAACUUUCAUAUACGAUCAGUUCCACCCAAACUUUCAGUGUCUCUCUAUGUCUCCCUCGAAAAAUAGUUCCACAAUUAUUUCUCCCCAUAUAUAAAGUUCGAAAUUUACUUAUCCACAUAAUCGAAGUUCGAAACUGAUUUAAACAUCGAGUUGGGUUAUUAUUGGUUUACUGUAAACCAAUCUUGUUUUUAACCAAUAAAAACAAAUUAAACCAAUCAUACACCAAUUUAACUUAAACCUUAACCCGAUUAAAACCUCAAAAAAAAAAAAUCCCCAAAACAAAAAUCCCCAGAUCGAUAUCAUCUUCUUCUUACGAUACAAUCAAGUUCAUAACUGAAGAAGAAGAAGAAGUUUUUUGAUGAGUUCAAAACAGACUAGUUAAAUUAGAACAUAAUCAAGAAUGAGAAACAAACCUUAGAUCUAGAUCCAACGGAACUGAUACGACGACUAGUAGCUUCGUAACCAUCGACAUAACGAGAAGGAGAAGAAGAACCACCACGAAACCGGUGUUUCUGUACCUAUUUUCCGACCAACCAAUCUCCCGUCCAACGAUAACGACGUCGCUCGUCUCCCAAUCAUCCUCCAUCUCCACGGCUUCGGUUGGAUCCUUUACCCGGCCAAUUCCGCCGCCAAUAACCGUUGUUGCUCUCAGAUGGCUAAUGAGUUAACGGUGAUUAUCGUCUCCGUGAACUACCGUUUAGCACCUGAACAUAGACUCCCACCUCAAUACAACAACGCAUUGGAUGCUCUUCUUUGGGUCAAAAGACAAAAUAGUGUUAUGUCUAUCUGCAAUAAUUUGUUAUGUCGUCUGCUGUGUAGCUUACCCGUAAUUUGAAUUGUUCUUGAUUACUUUGGCUUCUUUGAUCGUCACCAAAAGCUCUGCCACCACUUGUCCAUCUCUCAUAACGCGACGAGAAGACGAAGAAGAAGAAGAUAGAAACAAAGCAUAACAGUGUACUGAGAUACUAAGUUUGGUUUGUAAUUGGUUUAAUUUUGUUUUUAUUGGUUAAAAUAAGAUUGGUCUACAGUAAACCAACAAUAACCCAACUCGAUGUUUAAAUCAGUUUCGAACUUCGAUUAUGUGGAUAAGUAAGUUUCGAACUUUAGACAUGGGGAGAAAUAAUUGUAGAACUAUUUUUUCGAGGGAGACAUAGAGAGAUGCUGAAAGUUUGGGUGGAACUGAUCGUAUAUGAAAGUUCCUGGGGGGAAAUNNNNNNNNNNNNNNNNNNNNNNNNNNNNNNNNNNNNNNNNNNNNNNNNNNNNNNNNNNNNNNNNNNNNNNNNNNNNNNNNNNNNNNNNNNNNNNNNNNNNUGUGGUCAAAAUGAAAUCAAGAGAGAAAAGAUAAGAUAUUGUAUAAAAUUUGCUUCAUGCAUGAAGCGUUGUGACAUCUGUCAAAGUCAAAAUAAAUAUAAAACUUCUUACUUUAAGGGGAUAAUUUACUAUAUUUUGUGGUCAAAGCUCAAACCUAAAUCAGAAGGGAUAACUAAGAUAAAAUACAAGUAAAUGAUAAGAGUAAAAUCAGUGUAGUCCAUAGACAUUGUGACAUUUGUCAAACUAAAAAGAAAAACUGUAACUAGGGUUUAGGCAUUGUUUCCUUCUCUAUGCAUAUAUAUAUAGCUGAUCAUACCACAAGAACGCCGUUGGAGGAGCGUCAAAGAGACAAACGUACGACUUGUCUCGUUUGUUUAAGAUGAAGCAGAAUCAAAAAGUGAGAAUGGUGUAGAGGAGAUGAGGAGAUGUGGUGGCACUACUACACGCUCAUGGCUUAAUCAUAUCUUCUAGGUAUAUUGUUCUUUCUCCUAUACCAUCUCUCUUUAAGAUGGCUUGGUUGAUUUGGCAUUUUCAAUACUUUUUGAUAUAUCUUUUAGAUAUAUGCUUUACGGUCUCUUGUUACGAUGGCUUGGCUGAUUCAAUAUUUUCAAAAACUGUUUUUAUUGUAUUUAGGAUUUAGUCUGGAGACAUAUCACCUUUUUCGAAAUCCAUAACUGUAGGAGGAGCGUCACACAUCCGCCCAAAAAGACUUCUCUCCUUUGUUGAAGAUGAAGAAGGAAAUCCCUACGGAUGUAGGAAAUAUGGUGGCACGACACGCUCAUGAAUCCAAUAUUUCAAGUAUAUCUAGUACCUACUUUACCACUUUUCUUUUGUCAAAUUUUCUCAAAACUGGUGUAGUUGUGGUUAAUUAUGUGGGGUAAACAAUGUCAUUAAAUUCAUGAACUUGGUCAUUUAGGUCAAUUAAACCAUGAACUUUGCAUGCAUACAUACACAUUGACUUGCAUAGUAAAACAUAUAACAUAGUUAACCAAGCUAAAAACAAGAUGUCGCUAAGUCCGAUAAUGGAGCAAUUAAUAGUUGUUAGUCUGUUAACAACAUGAUUUAUGAAUGAUUUGCAUUUUUAAUCUCUUUAUGAAGUAUGCACAAUGACAUGUUGUUAACUGCUCCGUUAUCGGGCUCAACGAUAUUUUGUUUUUGGCUUGGUUAAAUCUGUUUCAUGUUUUAGUUUGCAAGUCAAUGUGUAUGUAUGGUUUAAAUGGUCUGCAUGAAAGUUCAUAGUUUAAUCGGCGUAAAUAACUGAGUUGAUAAAUUUAAUGACAUUUUUCCCAAUUUGAAUCAAAGAAGAUUGAAUGCUUGAUUUUCUCAAUCAAGCUGUUUUUUUUCACUGCAGGAAACAAAAUGGAACCAAUCAUCAACAGCAAAUAGGUUUAUUCUAUUUUAGCCUAAUUUAUCACAGUUGAUUGACAUAAUCUAGUUGGAAAGAAAAGUGACAAAAUGUACCAUCUUUAUCACAUGACCAUUAAGAAACUCUGUGAGCUGUCUUUUUUAUCUAGAUUAUGUUUUGAAUAGUGGUAAAUAAGGUCUGAAGGAAGAUAAGCCAUGUUGUGACAUUGAUGGAUGGUUUUAUUGUAUAUCAUGUGGGGGGAAAAAGAACUUGCUUGCGUAAAGAAAGCAUAUAAUUUUCUUUUAAAUUGUACAUAUUUUAAUACAAUCAUAGACAUGGAAGAUUGAAGAGAAAACAUAUUUUGUUGUCUUCUUCUCGUUGCUUAGAUUCCUCUAAAGGGCACGUAGAAGUGCAUAAGAACUAUAUGAAAUUGGUGAAAUAUUUAAGAGGGAAAGUUAUUAUUAUGGAAAUAUUUCUUGUUCGCAUAUUGUUUACAUGAAAUGAAUUGCACCAAAUAAUUAGAGAAUAAUGAGUUUGAACCCAAAGCAAAGUGACAUAUGUAUUAUUAUUUUAUUUUAAAUUUAAAUUGUGUUCUUAAUAUAUAUAUAUAUAUAUAUAUAUAUAUAUAUGUAUAUCUAUAGUUUAUAAUAAAUUUAGAAAAAUAUAUAAAUAUAAAAAUUCUUUACUUAUUAGCUUUAUAUAUAGUAUUUGUCAAAAUCAUAACAAUUUGUGGUCAAAACUGAAUCAGGAUAGAUUAAGAUACAAUACAAGUAAAAUCAAUGUAGUCCACAUACGUUGUGACAUCUCUCAAACUCUAAACAAAAACUGCAGUUAGGGUUUAGGCAUUGUUUCUUCUCUUAAUAAUCUAAGAAAAGUAUAUAUAUAACUUUGCUUUACUUAUUUGUUCCAUUUGUGGAACGACGAUCUAUUUCCCCCAGGAACUUUCAUAUACGAUCAGUUCCACCCAAACUUUCAGUGUCUCUCUAUGUCUCCCUCGAAAAAUAGUUCCACAAUUAUUUCUCCCCAUAUAUAAAGUUCGAAAUUUACUUAUCCACAUAAUCGAAGUUCGAAACUGAUUUAAACAUCGAGUUGGGUUAUUGUUGGUUUACUGUAAACCAAUCUUGUUUUUAACCAAUAAAAACAAAUUAAACCAAUCAUAAACCAAUUUAACUUAAACCUUAACCCGAUUAAAACCUCAAAAACAAAAAAAAAAAAAAAAUCCCCAAAACAAAAAUCCCUAGAUCGAUAUCAUCUUCUUCUUACGAUACAAUCAAGUACAUAACUGAAGAAGAAGAAGUUUUUUGAUGAGUUCAAAACAGACUAGUUAAAUUAGAACAUAAUCAAGAAUGAGAAACAAACCUUAGAUCUAGAUCCAACGGAACUGAUACGACGACUAGUAGCUUCGUAACCAUCGACAUAACGAGAAGGAGAAGAAGAACCACCNNNNNNNNNNNNNNNNNNNNNNNNNNNNNNNNNNNNNNNNNNNNNNNNNNNNNNNNNNNNNNNNNNNNNNNNNNNNNNNNNNNNNNNNNNNNNNNNNNNNGAAACCGGUGUUUCUGUACCUAUUUUCCGACCAACCAAUCUCCCGUCCAACGAUAACGACGUCGCUCGUCUCCCAAUCAUCCUCCAUCUCCACGGCUUCGGUUGGAUCCUUUACCCGGCCAAUUCCGCCGCCAAUAACCAUUGUUGCUCUCAGAUGGCUAAUGAGUUAACGGUGAUUAUCGUCUCCGUGAACUACCGUUUAGCACCUGAACAUAGACUCCCACCUCAAUACAACAACGCAUUGGAUGCUCUUCUUUGGGUCAAAAGACAAAAUAGUGUUAUGUCUAUCUGCAAUAAUUUUUUAUGUCGUCUGCUGUGUAGCUUACCCGUAAUUUGAAUUGUUCUUGAUUACUUUGGCUUCUUUGAUCGUCACCAAAAGCUCUGCCACCACUUGUCCAUCUCUCAUAACGCGACGAGAAGACGAAGAAGAAGAAGAUAGAAACAAAGCAUAACAGUGUACUGAGAUACUAAGUUUGGUUUGUAAUUGGUUUAAUUUUGUUUUUAUUGGUUAAAAUAAGAUUGGUCUACAGUAAACCAACAAUAACCCAACUCGAUGUUUAAAUCAGUUUCGAACUUCGAUUAUGUGGAUAAGUAAGUUUCGAACUUUAGACAUGGGGAGAAAUAAUUGUAGAACUAUUUUUCGAGGGAGACAUAGAGAGAUGCUGAAAGUUUGGGUGGAACUGAUCGUAUAUGAAAGUUCCUGGGGGGAAAUAGAUCGUCGUUCCCUUAUUUGUUGAUAUUUUUUACUUUUUGUGGUCAAAAUGAAAUCAAGAGAGAAAAGAUAAUAUAUUGUAUAAAAUUUGCUUCAUGCAUGAAGCGUUGUGACAUCUGUCAAAGUCAAAAUAAAUAUAAAAUUUCUUACUUUAAGGGGAUAAUUUACUAUAUUUUGUGGUCAAAGCUCAAACCUAAAUCAGAAGGGAAUAACUAAGAUAAAAUACAAGUAAAUGAUAAGAGUAAAAUCAGUGUAGUCCAUAGACAUUGUGACAUUUGUCAAACUAAAAAGAAAAACUGUAACUAGGGUUUAGGCAUUGUUUCCUUCUCUAUGUAUAUAUAUAGCUGAUCUUACCACAAGAACGCCGUUGGAGGAGCGUCAAAGAGACAAACGUACGACUUGUCUCGUUUGUUUAAGAUGAUGCAGAAUCAAAAGGUGAGAAUGGUGUAGAGGAGAUGAGGAGAUGUGGUGGCACUACUACACGCUCAUGGCUUAAUCAUAUCUUCUAGGUAUAUUGUUCUUUCUCCUAUACCAUCUCUCUUUAAGAUGGCUUGGUUGAUUUGGUAUUUUCGAUACUUUUUGAUAUAUCUUUUAGAUAUAUGCUUUACGGUCUCUCGUUACGAUGGCUUGGCUGAUUCAAUAUUUUCAAAAACUGUUUUUAUUGUAUUUAGGAUUUUGUUCUCUAUUCAUUUAUAGUCUCGAGAGAUAUCACCUUUUUCGAAAUCCAUAACUGUAGGAGGAGCGUCACACAUCCGCCCAAAAAGACUUCUCUCCCUUGUUGAAGAUGAAGAAGGAAAUCCCUACGGAUGUAGGAAAUAUGGUGGCACGACACGCUCAUGAAUCCAAUAUUUCAGGUAUAUCUAGUACCUACUUUACCACUUUUCUUUUGUCAAAUUUUCUCAAAACUGGUGUAGUUGUGGUUAAUUAAGUGGGGUAAACAAUGUCAUUAAAUUCAUGAACUUGGUCAUUUAGGUCAAUUAAACCAUGAACUUUGCAUGCAUACAUACACAUUGACUUGCAGAGUAAAACAUAUAACAUAGUUGACCAAGCUAAAAACAAGAUGUCGCUAAGUCCGAUAAUGGGGCAAUUAAUAGUUGUUAGUCUGUUAACAACAUGAUUUAUGAAUGAUUUGCAUUUUUUUAUCUCUUUAUGAAGUAUGCACAAUGACAUGUUGUUAACUGCUCCGUUAUCGGGCUUAACGAUAUUUUGUUUUUGGCUUGGUUAACUCUGUUUCAUGUUUUAGUUUGCAAGUCAAUGUGUAUGUAUGGUUUAAAUGGUAUGCAUGAAAGUUCAUAGUUUAAUCGGCGUAAAUAACUGAGUUGAUAAAUUUAAUGACAUUUUUCCCAAUUUGAAUCAAAGAAGAUUGAAUGCUUGAUUUUCUCAAUCAAGCUGUUUUUUUCACUGCAGGAAACAAAAUGGAACCAAUCAUCAACAACAAAUAGGUUUAUUCUAUUUUAGCCUAAUUUAUCACAGUUGAUUGACAUAAUCUAGUUGGAAAGAAAAGUGACAAAAUGUACCAUCUUUAUCACAUGACCAUUAAGAAACUCUGUGAGCUGUCUUUUUUAUCUAGAUUAUGUUUUGAAUAGUGGUAAAUAAGGUCUGAAGGAAGAUAAGCCAUGUUGUGACAUUGAUGGAUGGUUUUAUUGUAUAUCAUGUGGGGGAAAAAAGAACUUGCGUGCGUAAAGAAAGCAUAUAAUUUUCCUUUAAAUUGUACAUAUUUUAAUACAAUCAUAGACAUGGAAGAUUGAAGAGAAAACAUAUUUUGUUGUCUUCUUCUCGUUGUUUAGAGUCCUCUAAAGGGCACGUAGAAGUGCAUAAUUAAGAACUAUAUGAAUUUGGUGAAAUAUUUAGAAACUGAUUUUUAUGAACCUCUUAGUUGUCCAUCAUAAAAACAAAUCGUAGUAAAAUCGUUUUUAAUUGUUGUUAAAAAAAUUACUCUACUCCUUUAAACAUGUUUAAUGAUUUGUCUUCUAAGAUGUUAUGACUGGUUUCCUCUUUUGUUGUUGUUUAAUUUGAUAUUGAUUAUAGAUCAAAGAAGACAACUUCACGAUAAUUUUUACAACUUUCUUUAUUCACUAUUUCUAAUUGUUGAAUCAUGUGAAUCUUCCCCACCAUAAAAAUUAAACAUUACACAGUGCAUGGAAUCGUAAAGCCUAAGAAAAAAAUUAACGUAACAUUACGAUUCCAUGCAAUGUGUAAUGUUAACUAUUCGACUUGUCAUACUUUUUUGUUGGCCACUGUGUUCAUACAUUAAAUUACGAGUGGCCUAGUAACUAAAACAUUAAUAUGGUCAUUUUUCUCUUAGAAGCUUGGUCGAAUUUGUUUUUGAAAUUGACGAAUGAGAGAGGUUGAGUUUUCCUCCAAUGAGUUUAUCAAGCUCAAUUUGGGAUUGGAGAAACUGUGAAACUAUUAUAAGCGAGGUUCAUAUCGCGGAGAUGACACAGUCUAAAAGGAAAAUUAUUUGGCUCAAGCCGGCCAUAGAGACAACUGGAAUUAAGGUCUAGUCCGAUCUAGUCACUAGACCUCGCAUCACAAGUGAUAUCAUAUCAAGAACAUAAGUCAUUGUUAUUAAUCCAUGCAUGGUUUUGUCUUUUGUAUCCCAAAGUCAUUCUUAAACCGCAUAAGCUCAUCCCAAAGUCAUUCUUAAACCGCAGUUCUUAAAAUUUAUUCUUAAUAUAUAUAUAUAUAUAUAUAUAUAUAUAUAUAUAUACAUAUAUAGUUUGUAAUAAAUUUAGAUAAAAAUAGAAAUAUAAAAUUUCUUUACUUAUUAGCUUAAUAUAUAGCACUUGUCAAAAUCAUGAGAUAUUUUUUACUUUUUGUGGUCAAAAUUAAAUCAUGAAAGAUUAAGAUAAGGUACAAGUAAAUGAUAAGAGUAAAAUCAGUAUAGUUCAUAGACGUUGUGACAUCUGUCAAACUCUAAAUAAAAACUGUAGUUAGGGUUUAGGCAUUGUUUCUUCUCUAUGCGCAUAUAUAUAUAUAUAGCUAACCAUAAGACGAAGAGAGCUGUUGGAGCUAGGAGCGUCAAAGAGAGAAACGCACGACUUGUCUCCUUUGUUGAAGAUGAAGCAGAAUCCAAAGGGGAGAAUGGUGUAGAGGAGAUGUGGUGGCACUACUACAAGCCCACGAGAGUCCUAUCUUUUAGGUUUAUUGUUUUCUUUAGUUUAUUGUCUCUCUUUACGAUGGCUUGGUUGUGAUACGGGGAUGAUGGUAAAUAAGGUCAUCUCUUCUCUAUUCAUUUAUAGUCAAGCAUGUCGAGGCUUAUCACCUCUUUCAAAAGCCAUAGUCGUUGGAGGAGCUUCACGUAUCAGGGAAUCCCAAGGUAUGGAGGAAAUGUGGUGGCACGACACGCUCACGAAUCUGAUCUUUCAGGUAUAAUCUCUCUACUCUAGCUACCACUUAUUGUGUCACAAUACGCUCACGAAUCCUAUCUUUUAGGUAUAUAUAUUAUUUUUUCCUACUUUACCACUUGUAUCAUGGUUGAUUCGAAAUUUCUCAAAUCUGUUAGUAUGUGGUUGAAUUUGUGGUGUAAACGAUGCACAUAACAGGCAAAAAUAUUUACGUUAAAAUCAUUUGACUUUUAAUGAUUUAGUUGUUAAUUAGACCAACAGAUUAUAAUACAAUCAAUUUAUUUUUAUUCUUGCUUUAUAUGUAUUCUGUUUCUUAUAGAAUUUUUGUUCAUUUCUGUGUAAAAUGUGUGAUGAAAGUAAACAGAAACUGAGAGAGCUUUGUCGGUGAAAUGUGACAGAAGUGGUGCAUUGUGUCCAUUGUUUCAACGGUACGUAUUUUUCUUUCUUGGUUUUUGGUUUUGUUUGGUUGUUGAUAAUCUUUAUAUAUAUAAAGUUAGUUUUUUCUCUUUUCUCAUGAUGCCACCUAAGCAUCCACCUAACCCACAUAUUUUUUACAUUAAAAUAAAUAUAAAACAUUCAUUUAGUACAUAUUUAUGCUACUUAUUUAAUUAAUAGAAAAUUUAUAUAAAUAAAAAUAAAUUAUGUAAAUAAAUGAAAUGUUAAAUAAGAAAUACUUUCAUUUUUAUUAGUUAGUGGUAAUAAUAUAAUUCAACUUUCAUUUUAAAUUGAUCAUAGUUUAAAAUUUUAAAUGUGUUACUGAGUUUAAGAAUGUAAGUAAAUUUUAAAUUUAUGGUAGAAUAAAAACAAUAUUUAUGUAAUUGUAUAUAUAAAAUUUUAAAGGGAAAAAAUAAAAUUGAAAGUGAAAUAUUAGUUUAUAACAUGAUCAAUAAGAAAAAGCUUUUAAUCCAAAUUUAAAUAUUGAAAGAUAAUAAUUCAAGAGAAAAUAACUAUAAUAUGUUUUGAAAAUCAAUUAAAAAUAAAUAAAAUAUCACAAUAUGAAUAAAAAAUUAACAAAAAAAUUAUAAACCUCCCGCGCGCAGCGCGGGUCAACUGCUAGUAAUAUAUAUAGUGGAGUACAAUCUCAACUAUCUUAAUCAAAAAAUUUAACCUCUUAACCCAAAAUUGCAUUAAAUUAAUAUCAAAAUACCCAUCCAAAACUGCAUUAGAUGUAUAAAUUGAAUUAAAGAAUAUUGAAUGGAACCAAUCAAACUGUUUGUUUUGCCACAAGAGACACAAUGGAACCAAACAUCAACAACAACUCAUUUUAUCUUCUUUCAAGACCUAAUCUGCACUAUUAAUAACAUAAUCUAGUUGGAAUGACAAGUUACAAGAUUUAUCAUCUUUUUCUCAUGAGGAUUAAGUAACUCAUGUAGGUUGUCUUUUCAUCUAGAUUGUGUUAUCAGUAGUUGUAAAUAAGGUUUAAAGGAAGAUAAGCCACGUUGCGAUGUAAACAGAUGGUUUUAUUGUGUAUUAAACGAGCGACUUGCUUGAGUAAAACAAUCAUACAAUUUUCUUUCAAAUAAUAUAAUGAUAGAGAUGACUUUUUAGUAGUUUCCCUUUCUUAUUUCAUGGAGAUGUUGGAGGAAUCAAUUGAUGAUCGUAAUUGAAGACCAAAACGUAAACAUAUCGUUUUUUUCGCCCGCACAGCUGUGGUCCAGUGGUAAGAGAGAAUUGGGGAAAGGUUGGAAAGAACUAACUCAGGUUUGAUCCACCCUGGAAACAAAAAUCAUGGUUGUGUGGGAAGUCUGUCAAUUGGGCCAAGACCUAGUUGGUUUACCUGGUAGUCAGAAAUGCAGGCGGCCUGACUACCCCUGGCAUUAGUCGGAAAGCAUUCCAAACUCGGGAUAUAUAGUGUGGUGGCCCUUCGGGGAGAAGUGCACUCUGAAGCACUUCGGUGCGUUUCUACCGAGGCUGACCGGAUCAGCCGAUAGGGUUUAUCAAAAAAAAAAAUAUAUAUAUAUCGUUUUUUUCUCUUUUUAUCUUUGUUCAGAAGCUUCUAAAGGGCAUAUAUGACGAAAUAUUUAGAAACUGAGUUAUCUGAUAGUGGAGGACAAUCUUAACUAUAUCAAUCAAUAUAAAAACUCAACCAGAAAAAAAUAACCCUCAAUCCAAAAUUGCAUUAAAUGUAGAAUUUGAAUUGAAGAAGAUUGAAUGCUUGAUUUACUUAAUCAAGCUGAUUAUUUUGCCUUAAGAUACACAAUGUAACCAACAAUCAACAAUAACUAAUUUUAUCUUCUAUCACACCUAAUUUAGCACUGUUGAAAUCAUCAUCUAGUUGGAACGAGAAGUUAAAAGAUUUACCAUCGUUUUUCUCACACAUGAGCAUUAGGUAACUUUUCUAAUUUGUCUUUUAAACUAGAUGGUGAAUUCUAUUGUGGUAAAUAUAUAAGGUCCGAAGGAAGAUAAGCCACGUUGCAAUGUUGAUGGAUUGUUUUACUAUGUAUCAUGUGGGAAAACGAACGACUUGCUUGAGUAAAAAAAAAUUCAUAUAAUUUUCUUUGAAAUUAUCUUUGAAAUCAUCACUUGAUGAUUGUGUGAUGGAUCCACAAAAAAAGAGUAAACAUAUUGUCUUGUCUUUGUCUUCUUAUCUUUGUUCAGACUCUUCAAAAGUACACGUAGAAGUACAAAAAAAAAAAACUAUUGUAAGCGAGGUUUUGAUCAUGGAGAUUAAGGUCUUUUCCCAAUCAAAUCACCGGACUUGGCAUCACAAGUGAUACCAUACCAUCUCACCCAUGAUUUUAUCUUUGGAAAAUAAGUGAGUCAUCUUUUCAAACAAAAUUAGAUUUGUGUGUCCCAAAACUCAUUUUUUUAAUUGAAGAAGCUCAUCGCUUUGGUCUGAAUGGCACAAGUGUUUUGUAGGAGAAAUAAAUGUGUUUGUCGAAAAAAAUGAAACGAGGUAAUGGAGACAAAUAGGAAGAUGAAGAGAGCUCAUUUUCGGACUGAAUCAAGGCAUCAAGUUGUAAUCUAUAUGUAUAUAUAUGAUAAAAGCUCCACUAACUUGAUGAGGGCAAUUAUAAAUAUCAAGUGCCGUGGAGCUUAAGUUAUCUCUUCUAAUAAUGAAUGUACAUUUGGAACUAAAUGUAUCUUCUUGUAUCUAAUUUAAAACAUGAUCUACGGUAAGUUUUUCUCUCAAACUCCUCAACACAUAGUUAAGGCUUCAAUUUUGAUAUAACGCAUGAAAAGAGGUUAAUAGUCAUAACUCACUUGAUCCUUUGGUUUUUUCCAAUUGGUGAAACCAAUGAGCCUAAAACUGGAAAGAUUGAGAUCAAAGGAUGGGAUGUGAGAAUCAUGUUUCGCCAAUUGGCCAAUUCUAUAUAUAUUUCUCACAAUCGCCCAUUAUUUCCAAUUGGCGAAACCAAUCGGGAACAUGUUGAAGCGAUUGUUAGAGAAAUAUAUAUAGAAUUUUAUUUGUAUAUAUGCAAGAAAAAAGUAAAAAAAAAAACAAAAGAUCAACAACAACCUACGACAGAGCACCGUAGAGCUUUAUCUCGGUAUUCAUGAAGUGUAAGAGACCAAACAGACCACCGCAUAACUUAUAUCGUUAAUCAUGAAGUUGCAAGAGACCAAACAGAAGUUGCAAGAGACCAAAUUUGUAAGAGAGUAAACCGCACAACUUUAUCUCAGUAUCAUACUAUAUCACUAGAAUGAGGGGACUUGAGUCUACCCAAGAUUAUACACACACACACAACUAGGGUACAAUGUCCCUUAUGAGCGUGCCAAAACAUUGGCUUCUUCUAUGUUCUACGUUAUGUCCGGUAAGUUUUAUAGCGGACACGGACAUUAACUGGGCUUAAAAUUUUGUGAGAUCCAUUUAUGUCCAACUAAUAUCUAAAAUCUGUCCAUGAUAACAUCCCUAGUGAGCUUAAGAGAUAAGGUAUUAGUAAAUUGGUUUCCACAUUUCAAGUGCUUAUAUGUCUGUUUGGUUCAAUGCCACUGGAAGAUUGUAAUGUAAUAUCGUGGUUCAAUAAAAAGAGAUUAAGAAAUGGUAGAGACAUUUAUAUUUUAUAUAGUAGUAGAUAAGCAAAGCAUACAUAGUCUCUUCGCUCAUUACAACCAAAGUUAAAAUGCAAAGCUUACAUAGUCUUUGCUCAUUGACCGACCAAAAGGCCAUUGAGACAACUAACUUGUCUUUCUUCUUAAUUCAGAUCAGAAUCCUAAAACCAAAACCAUAGAUAGAUAGGAUAACAAAAAGAGGCAUUACAUUAUCCAUUAAACCCGCGAUUCAAACCCGACAAACCUAUACAUCUAAUUGCUUCUUCUUAGAUGACUUCACUAAUUGCAGAGGCCACUUCAUUCACAAUGACACUCUUCUGCAACAACAAAUCAAACUCCUUAGCCUCCACCAACUUCAACUUCUCUUCAAUCCUCUUCUUAGUCUCCACAGAAACCUUCCUCCAUCUCUCCUUCACAGAAGACUCAUCAACACCGAGCCUCGCAAUGCUUCGAACCACGAAAGACUUGUCAAACAUCUCGGUAUCUCCUCCAAGAAUCACCACUUCCUCAUCUUCUCCUACAUUGAAACCAUAAGAUUUCAAAAACUCCAACUUCUUCAAUUUCUCAUUAGCUUUCACAUCAGCUGAUUCAAGAGCCAUAUCAUCAGAUCCCCAAAUAAACUUAGCUAAUCCCAAACAGUUCUUAUCAUGAGACGAAUCUAAACCUUUCUUCUUCAUUUUACCAAAGUACUUCUUCUUCAAAGACCUAAUCUUAUCACCGAAUUCGAUUUUGCUAACAUCAAAGCUAAUGUUUCUCUUAACGAAAUCGAAAAAGAGAUUCAUAUCAUCAUAAGGACUUGUACCUUUCUCAGCUUUGAAAUCAAUCAUACCUUGUAACAGAGACGUCUCGUCUUCUUCACUCCAUAGUUUCUGAGAUUCCUUCUUAGCUUUUUUCACAUGCGUUUCCUUCGUCGCUUCACUCACUCGCUUCUUCCCUGAUUUCGCGGCGGCGAUGGUCUUCUCCUCUCCUGAUUCGGAUUCCGAGUCGGAACCCGUCUCAGAUCCGGAAUCUGAAUCGGAGCUUGGAGCAGCGGCGGAGAUUUGUUCUUCGUCUUCUUCGCCGGAUGAGGUCUUGACUUCGUCGUCGUGGCUUAAAGAAGCGGUUGGGGGAUCUUCCAAGGGGUUGAGAAGCGUCUUCGCCAUUGGGGAUUUUUUGAAAUUCUUGGAGAGAGAGAGAUGAAGUGGAACUGAAACGUUUAGGGUUUUUGUGAGGCGGACAAGUCGAUUAAAAAGGUUAAGAAAAUGAGAAAUAUGAAACGUUUUCUUGACCAAAAAAAAAUAAAAAUGAAACGUUUUCUUUUAUUGGAUCCUACAUGGGCUGGAUUUGUAGCCCAUUAGCCCACUAACAGAAGUAGAAAUUGAGCUCGUUAAGUGGGAACCUUCACAACGUAAUGGAUUUUGCCACUUAUAACGUUUGUCAAAAAAGGUUAACCGUUAGAAGUUGAAAACUUUGAAAGUUUGUGUAUUUUAUACAAAACUGAGUACUUACCAUACACCAAUGAGAUAUUAGGCGUGUUCGUUUUGUCACCGCAAAAUACAUGCAGCUGCAGCGAACGCAGGUGUUUAUGUUCGUUUGGUUGUCGCAGCGACGAACAUUACGGUUAUAAUUUUUGAACGUCGAUUUGACUCAGCGGUUGAAAAAGUUACAUAUGCUCCAGAAACAAACAUGUAUAUUACCUAUUCUCAAAGCAUCCAACAUAAACGUAGAAUCAAAAGAUUAAAUGUUUGGUCAUCACCUCAUAUAAAUUAUCUAUCUUUUAAUUUAUUUAUUAGUCGGUUCAAAUCAAAUUAACAUGUAAUGGCCAUUAUUGGUUCCUUAAAAAUUCUUCUUUUUUUUUUGCCAUCAAGCUCACUGGGAUAACCACAAAUCCUUGGUUCCUUAAUAAUUUUUUUUUUUCAAUUUUGCUUUCUAUUUUGGGGAUAGAAAGAACUAAUACUUUGUUGAUUUUACUUUGUCUAAAUGAAAAAGUAAAUCAAGAGAAAAAGUCAAUAAGGACACAAAUGGCCACCCACAAUUUUCUCAACAUCGAACACCAAUCUAACCACAAAAAUUAAAAAUAUGUUUUAUCCACUAAUCACUCAAUGUUCCAAAAAUCCAAUACUAAGAAACACUAUAAAUAACACUUUUGUAUCAAACCAAUUCAAUCAACCAAAGCUAAAAAAAACUUACUCUCUCACAAACUUCAAACCCUUCUCAUCCCUUUUUGAAUCAAUCAGUCAUGUCUCAACAACAAUUCAACGCUGGCCAGACCAGAGGCCAAGCUCAAGUACGUUCUCCAAUUUCUAUCUUUCUUACAUUUUAGCAAAAUGUACUACAAAAUCUUAAGUAUGUUUUGAUCUUUAUAUAUGGUUUUUGCAUGGAUACUUUAGGAGAAAGCUGAGCAAUGGACCGAGUCUGCGAAGCAAACCGCGCAAUCUGCACGUGAUAAGACUGCUGAUUUGACACAACAAGCUCGCGACAAGGCCGCAGAUUUGUCACAAUCAGCUCGUGACAAGACCGCUGAUGGAUCUAAUUCCGCUAAACAGUCCACCCAACACAACCAGGAACAAGCCGCUGGUUUAUUUGGCCAGGUAUAUAUAUAUAUUUUUUUUUAGGUAUAUUUACUAAUUUGUUGAAUCUAAAGUAUAAAACUUUGGUAACAAAAUUGAUAUUUGAACCUUUGAAUCUAUGUUUGUAGACCGGUGAACAAGUGAAGAACAUGGCUCAAGGUGCUCUUGAUGGUGUGAAGAACAGUCUUGGCAUGAACGAGAAGAAAUGAGAAUAUGAUGAAAUUACUCGUGCUUCUCAACUAUUUUAUUUAAAUAUUUAUGAAUAAUUUCUUGUUUUUUUGGGUUUCUCCAAAUUGUUUGUAAUAAGAUUAUUAUUUUUGAGAGAUUUUGUGAUCUGAAAUCUGAGAUGUAAUAAGAUGUUGUAACAUCAUAGCCUUUGAUUUUCUAUUUUUAUAAAAAGAUGAACCAAAUUAAAAUUAUCACUCUUAUUCUAUUAUUAAAAAACUAACCUUCUAGUCCUACAAGUGAUCACUACAAAAGAUUUAUUAGAUAACGUCACUUAAGUAAUGUCACUUAGUUUCAGUAUGAAUCUAAGGUACUUCUCUACUGAAUUUUAAGGUCCUUUAGUAAUGAUGUUUUGUUUUGUGUGAAUUGGUAACACGAGAACUCAUACAAAUUUGAGGCUAGAGUUGUUCUUUCAAUAUGAAUUUUCUUCAUUUUGGAGAAUUGGAUGAUCUAUAAAAUAAAAAACUUGAGAGCUGAGAUGUUCAUUAUGUUAAGCAUCGUACGUAGUUGGAAAAUAUAAUGGUCACUUGCAAAAUUCUAGAGAAUGCUUCGAAUUCAAUAAAUCUAUAUAAUAAUAAUGAAAACUUAUUAUAUGAAGUGGUGAUGAUAACAUGUAGAUGUAGUACAUAAAGUUUGUGUUUCAAUGCAGUACACAAGACAAGAGCAUCGAUCUCUUAUAGUACAUACAUAAAACUUGGAUUAUUUUAUUAAAAUCAUCCUAACAAUGUUUUUUUUUUAUAUAUAUAACUUUUGCAUUACAAUCACAUGAACACUGAAAUUGACUUUUAUAUUCAAGUACAUAAGUUUAAAAUACUAAAAAAAAAAAAAAAAAAAAUCUGGAACCUCAAAAGAUACGAUAUAGUACGAUCCAUUACAUCGUACAUGGAAGCAUUGUACUACUUUCAAUCCAAAGACACGACAAUGUCUUUAUAAAACGAUGUUUUGUGUUUUAUCUUCAUGGUAAUAGAAAAGAGCAAGAUGAGGUUUGAAUGAACAUCAUUGAGUGCAGCGUUGAUAUAAUUUACUUCUUUUGUUCCAAUACUUGAAUGGAUUAAAGAAAUUUAUAUAUCAUUGUUGCGUUCAAUUAUGUUUUUUCUAAUUUUCAGGAGCACUUAAAAAAAGAGAAAAAAAACCACAUAAAAGAGUUUAUAAAAAGUUUUGCUUCGACUUGAAAACUUAGAUUUCUACUUUUUCGACUCUUACAACAAACUUUUAACAUACAAAAUAAUCAAGGAAAACACUCAAAAAGUGUGAAUGUGCGAGGUUAGUCUCAUUAACGGAAUUAUGAACAAUGUUUAAAAAUAGUGACGUUGUUUUACAAUUUAUUAUAUAUAUAUAUUAUAUUCCAUGAAUGGAUGCUUUUUUAAUUAUUAUUUCAGUUUGUGGAUUUUGUUUUUAAUAUUUAAUUAUAGAUUUUAGUUUUAGAUCAUAAAUAUUUGCAAAUUUCUAAGUUCGUUUUGAAUCAAAGCUUUUGAUUUUUGGUUAACUAUUUUCUUUGUAAAAUAACGUCACUAUUUUAAACGGAAAUUUAAUAUUUCUGUUAACAAAUCUAACGUCUAACAUUUGCAUUUUUAUUUGAGUAUGUUAUUUUCUAAAUUGUUUUGUAUGUUGAAGGUGUAUUGUAGAAAUCGAAAACAUCAUAAGUAUAACUAAACUACUCACAAGAUUUUUUUUAUGAGACUUUUUGCUUCUAAAAGUUUGUAUUCAAAAAAAUAGAAAAUAGAAAUAGUGUGUUCUCAUUUGUUCGAGCUCAUAGCCGAAGCCUUAAUUGGGGAAUGCAAGAUAGUACUUAAGAUCCAUAGUUUAACUCAUAUAAUAGAAACCGUCGUGAGAGCACUCCAACCAUAAAAUCAAAAUUUUGUGUUGAAAUCAUAUCAAAUUCAAUGUUCUGGUCUCUCUUUUUUUUUUCAUCUCCAACCACAACAUCAAAUAUACUCUAAAAAUGCAUAUUUUUAUUGUAUUAUUAAAUUUAUUUUUAUUUUUAGUAGUGAUAAAUACUCAUUACUUUUAUAAUUUAUAUAUUUUAGUUUAAAUAAUAUAAUUUCAUAUUAAAUUAAUAGUAAAUAAAUUUAUUUUAGAAAUUUCGAGCAAAUUAUUCUUUCAUAUUAGUUAUAAUAUAAAGUUCAAGUUAAUUAAAAUGGAAACAUAUAAAAAAAUUUGAUGGUAAUUUUUUAUAUUAAGUUGGUUAAUUAUGUUACUUACUCGUUGUGGGAAUGCAUUUACACUAAACUUAGAAUUUGAUAUUCUAAGAUUUGGUAUAUGUAUGGAUAAUUUGGAUAGUAUAUGCAUUAUGUUUUUGUUUUGUAGUAGUAGAUGUUACAAUUUGUGAAUUUUAUUUAUCUUUAGUUAGCGUAUUGGAGUUUGGAGAUGAUGAUCAAUUAUUUUGAAUGUAAGAGAUAAUAAUAAUGCUUUUCUUUAAAAAGAAGUGUCUUAUUUGAAAAAUAUCCACACAAAAAAAAAAAAGUUGUCUAUUACCACAAAGGUUUUGCCUUAAAAAAACUUCCAAAUCGCAGUUUUUUUUUCAAUUAAAAAAGUAAACCAUUCAACUCUAAAAAAAUGCAAAACAAUUUCGGGAAAAUCAAAAUUAAUAUAAAAUUAUAACCAGUUGUCAUUACCAUUAAAUUCUUAAAAUAUUGUUAAAUAAUAUGUUAAAUAUUUGCAAGUCUGAAUUUAUGUUUUGAAUAUUUUAAAUCUAAUUUAUACGAAUGUAGAAAUGUGUAGAAAUACAUAUAAGAAUUUAUAUUACGUAAUAUUUUGACUUUAUAUGAUUAAUUUUUAUUAUUUAAAGAUAAAUGUCGAUUUUUAAUUCUUUUUUAUUAUUUAUAGAAUUACUAAUUCCCUUUUGCAAUUUUCUUGAUUAUUAAUUAAAAUUUUCACUAAUCAAGUUGAAAAAGAAACCGUUAAUGAUAUCAACAUUGUACACAACAAGACAAAAUCCACUCCAAAGAAAUCUCCAGAAGAAGAAGCCUCUCUUCAUCUUCUCCAAAUUUCUCAAAUCCUUCUCCGUAGCGAUGACGUCUCUGCAAUUACACUGCUCCCUUCACUUCCUCCGUCCUAAACACCGUCUUCGCUACUCUCCUCCUAUCUUCUGCACUUCCCGUUCCCGCACCUGCCACUUUCCCGGAAAAAUCAGUUUCCGAGAAAGUUUCAGAGUCAGGGAAAAAUCCAAAUCGUUCCGUUGCUUCGCUCAAUCGGAGACGAAGGAAGUGAGAUUAUCUGAGAAAGAUGAACGUCCUACGUUCGAUAUCAAUCUCGCUGUUAUCCUCGCUGGUUUUGCUUUCGAAGCUUACGCUUCACCUCCGGUACAGUACAACUUCAAUUUCGUAGAAAUUUUGCUUCUCCUUUGAGAAUCUUCGACGGAAAUGAAACCUGAUUAUGAUUUUGUUGUUUGAUUCUCAGGAAAAUGUUGGGAAACGUGAGGUUAAUGCAGCUGGGUGUAAUACUCUUUACCUUUCUGAGUAUGUGAAGCUCUUUUUGGAGUGUCAUGGUGGUUUUUGAGAUUUUUGUUGCUUAGAUAAUGAAGAGAUUGAAAUUAUAUACUUGUUUCAGGUCAUUUGUAAGGGAGGUAUAUGAUGGGCAACUGUUUAUCAAACUCAAAAGGGGAUUUGAGUUUCCUGCUUUGGAUCCAUGGGUAUGUGUGUGUGUUUUUUAUAAAUCUUGAAGCAAUGACUUUACGUACCAUUUGUAUUGUUCUUUUUACCUUUACCAAAUUUGUUCUUAUUGGUUUUGCUUUCAGGGAACGAGUGAUCCUUAUGUGGUUAUGGAUUUGGAUGGUCAGGUUGCUAAAAGCAAAACCAAAUGGGGGCAAGUGUUUUAUGCUUUACUGAACUUUCAUUUGGUGGAUCACAUUUCUUAGCUUGAGUUAUGAACUUACUUAACUCAUCAUUUCAUGGUUUCCUACAAUACUUAAUUUUGAAGAUGAAUAGACACUUGUACCUGUGUCAUAGCCCUCAACUUUGUUUAGUUUAUUUUUCCAAAAGUUGUGUUAUUGACUGUUAAAUAUCUGAUCAUCAGUUACUGGUAUAAAUGAACUUGGUUCUUAAUGUAUUAUUUUAUUGGCAGGACAAAAGAGCCAAAAUGGAACGAAGACUUUGUUUUUAAUAUCAAGUUGCCUCCUGCAAAAAAGAUACAGGUAGAAUAGUGUUUAAGUAUUGUGUCCUGGUCAACUCUGAAAGUAACUGUACAAAUAACUUAUAUUAUAAUAGACCAUUGCUUGACUUCCCAAAUAUUGUUUAAUGAGCUUCAGAUUGCAGCUUGGGAUGCAAACCUUGUCACACCACAUAAACGAAUGGGGAAUUCUGAAAUCAACCUGGAAGAUAUUUGUGAUGGUGAGAAUUUUUUCACCUAUUUACUGUCAAUAUACUUUAUUUAUAUGUUUGAGUUCAACAUAGGCAAAAACGUUUGUGUUGUAGUUGGGUAUAGUUUUCUAUAUCUGCCACAGUGUAGAACUUUAGACUUGAUUAGACUAAAAACUUAUACACUAACAAAGAAUAAGGUUUUUCUCAAAAUGCUUACUAGGCUAUGACUCUGACUAGUGCACUCAACUGUGGACUAGGCUAUGACUCUGACUAGUGCAGUUACCGCAAGUAGUGAUACAUCUGAUGAGUCUACUGAACGUCUAACUUAAGGUUUUUGUCUCUAAUUUGUAUGUUUUAUUUUAUCCUCUUAUGCUUACCAAGGGAAGUUGCACGAGGUCCUAGUAGAACUAGAUGGAAUUGGAGGUGGUGGGAAAUUUCAACUGGAGGUCAGUUUAUGCUGCCAAAGCUUUUUCCCUCCGAGAAUGUUGCUUAGCUGCGUAGCUGAUAUCAUUUAUUACUAUUUUGUUGACGGAGAGAAUCAACUUAACUUUAAAGAAAACAGUAUGCUCGUUUUUCAAGAUAUCAUGCAGCCUGAUGCCUCAUAGAUUCACAUGUUUGUGUAUGCUAAACCCGAAAAUUUAGUCUCUCUGCUAGUUUGGUCUUUUUCUUAAUCAAAUUUAAACUGUCAGAUUAAGUACAAGGGAUUUGAGGAAGUUGAAGAAGAAAAGAAGUGGUGGAGGUUCCCGUUUGUUUCAGAAAUCCUUCAAAGAAAUGAAAUUAAGUCAGUUCUGAAAAAUUUCGUUGACUCUGAAGCAGUUGAAUCAGUUUUGAAAAAUCUUGUUGACUCUGAAGCUGUGCCAGCACGUCAAUUUGUAGAGUAUGCCUUUGGACAGUUAAAGUCACUCAACGAUGCCCCCCUUAAGAAUAAUAAUCUUCUAGACGAUACUAAGGAGGACUCUAAAGGUGAAGAAAACUCUAAUGAUCAUUCUCCAGCUGUAGAUAUACUUUCUGACGGGGCUAGUUCAGAGGAUUCCUCUGAUCAACAUCUCAGCACUGAUCUGAGUAGUUCAGGAAAGCAUAGCAAAGGGAAAGAUGGUAAUGGUGAUGUCCAAAGCAAUGAACUGGAGGGUGACAAUGAGAGUGGCAGCUUUCAGUCAGAAGGUAAUUUCUGGGAUAACAUCCCUGAAAUAGUCGGUCAAAAUAUCGUCCAGAACCUUGGCCUUCCUUCACCUAAGAAGUUGAAGUUGAACGGAAUGGACAUACUGGAAAAAUUUGGUCUACAAUCAAGGAAAACUGCAGAAGCAGGUUACAUUGAAUCAGGGCUUGCCACUGCUAAUACUCGAGAUGGCGGUGAUGAAAAGGAAGAUGGUCAGCUUGCUAUUAACACGCCGAAGUCUUCCCUUGCAGACAUGAAGAAUGCAACACAAGAAUUGCUCAAGCAGGCUGAUAAUGUCUUUGGUGCAUUAAUGGUUUUAAAAGCAGUAGUGCCUCAAUUAAGCAAGGACAAUCCUGGUACAGAGAAGGUCUUAGAAAAAGAUGGUGCUUCUAGUGUAACAGAGGAUGUCUCUAGUUCGUCUAAGACUGAUAAACUCUCUGGUCUAGUGAAUGUUGAUGGAGCAGAUGAAAAGAACGCUGAGGAAAUGAAAACACUUUUUUCUAGCGCAGAAAGUGCUAUGGAAGCAUGGGCAAUGCUUGCAACUGCCCUGGGGCAUCCAAGCUUUAUCAAAUCUGAGUUUGAAAAGUUAUGUUUUCUAGAAAAUGACAUCACUGACACGCAGGUGAAACUCUUAUGUCUUUGACUUACUGAUUCUACUUGUUUGGGAACAAGUGAUUUCAGGGAUAGAGUAUCCUGUCCUGAAAAUACAAGUUCAUGUUAAUAGACAUACUAAUUUACAAAGCUGCAGGUGGCAAUUUGGCGUGAUGCAAGGAGGAAAAGAGUCGUUAUCGCUUUUAGAGGAACUGAACAGGUAUGUAUCCAUAUCUUUUUAAUAUUCGGUGGUUAGUUUUUCUCUUUCAGUUCUUAUAGUCAAUAUUUCAUGUUGUCAGACAAAGUGGAAAGAUUUGCAGACUGAUCUAAUGCUAGUUCCUGCUGGGUUAGUAUUGUCUAUUUAUUCAGCUUCUCUACAUUGAUUCAGAAACUACUUAAGUCUACACUUUUGGAGUUUUACUUAGUUAUUAUUCAUCUCUCUGGACAUUUUUUAUAUAUGUUGCAGUCUGAAUCCUGAAAGAAUUGGUGGGGACUUCAAGCAAGAAGUACAAGUAUGUUUUAAACUCUGGCAUUGGACAGGUGUAUCCUUUAUUGAGUUAUUCGUAAUAAUGCUAUGGAUUUUGUAGGUCCAUAGUGGAUUUUUGAGUGCAUACGAUUCAGUACAGAUAAGGAUAAUAUCACUUCUCAAAAUGGCAAUUGGCUACAUGUAGGUGCAUCUUAUGUUUCACUUUGCUUUCUUCUUUUUGGAGAGUUUUUACUUACCUGUUAUUUCAAUGGUUGCAUCCUCUUUUGCUGGAAAGAUAAAUGUUUGACAUUAUAGAGAAAGUUCAAUCAAAUUGCUCAGGACAGUAAAUAUAUAGUGAGUGACUUUUACGUUUACAAGGUCUGUAAAAGUUGGACAUAAUUUCUGAUGCAUAUGCUCUCUCCCUUUUGGCAGAGAGGAUGUUCCUGAGCAUGAAGAUAAAUGGCAUGUUUAUGUGACUGGACAUAGCUUGGGUGGUGCAUUAGCUACACUCUUGGCUCUUGAACUUGCGUCAAGCCAAUUAGUUAAGUAAGUGGUUCGAAAUUCCUGUACUCCCUACAUAUCACCAUGACGACAUCAGGUUGACGAUCAUCUACAACUUUAUUUGUGUAUGCUUGUUAGACGUGGAGCAAUCAGUGUUACCAUGUACAAUUUUGGAUCUCCAAGAGUAGGCAACAAAAAGUUUGCUGAAAUUUAUAACCAGGUUAUGCUUCUUCUAACUUAACAAGGGGAGUGAGAUGGCAUGUCGUCAUUAAAUCUCAUUUAUUUGUAUGUUUUCCAUUGUCCACUUCACAGAAAGUAAAAGACAGCUGGAGAGUUGUAAACCAUAGAGACAUAAUUCCCACAGUACCUCGUUUAAUGGGAUAUUGUCAUGUAGCUCAUCCUAUUUAUCUCACUGCUGGAGAAGUGGUAUGCGUCCCCUCUGAUCGAACAUUUUUAAGCUAUACAGAGCAUUAGUUUAAUUUGUCGUGGAGGGGCUGUUAUACGUUAUUGAAAUAAUCUAUGCUCCUCUUUGUGUUGCCUUGCCUUUCGUAACUGGAAACAUUUUUCUUCUUUAUGACGUAGAUUUAGCAACUUUCAUUUGUUUGAUUCUGUCUGGGCUAAGUAUCUUGUGUGACCUGCAAAAAUGAUAUAUUAUGCAUAGUGUUUCUAUGAAUGUGACAACCUUUUAUGUGUUAUCUGCAUUACGCUCUUUCAGUUAUGUGAUAUGCUUUAUCCGUAGAAGUUGAUUAGACUGAGCGAUAUAAUAUUACAGGAAGAUACUGAGUUCCAGAAAGAUGGUUAUCAUGCUGAGGUUAUUGGGGAAGCGACACCUGAUAUUCUUGUUAGUAGAUUUGUAAGUCUUUUAUCACCUAACUUUCUCUGGUUGCUAAACUUAUUUCUUUUGAUCAUCAGUUAAGUUUUGGAUUUCCUACUUGUAUUUCACAUAUAUUAUGCAUAUGUUUGUAAAUAGAAUUAUUUUCCGUAGUGAAUAAUUUCAUUUAUACCCAGGAAAACAAAAGAUAACUCUUAAAUUGCUGCUACCUAGGAGCUUAUAAUUAUAAGUUCAUAUUUACUAGUAGCUCUUUUAUUUGAUGGCUUCAUAUACAUGUGUGGCACAGACAUUUAAACAUAGUGGAACGCAAAACUUAUUUACCUGUUGUAUGGUCUGUUUCAUUCUAUAAAUCUCUUAUGGCAUUCAGAAGUUUCUACCUAUGGGAAAUAUUCAAAAGAUGUAGAGUGGCUUGCUAGAAUUCUAGUGAGAAAUAUUACUUAUGAGUAACACAUCCUGACGUGAGUUUUAAUGGAUGCUAUGUUUCAGAUGAAAGGUGAGAAGGAACUUGUUGAGAAGAUACUUCAAACUGAAAUCAAAAUAUUCAACGCACUUCGUGAUGGGAGUGCCCUCAUGCAGCACAUGGAAGAUUUCUAUUACAUCACACUGUUAGAGGUAUGUUAUUAGUGCCCACUUAAGCAAUUGCUGAUAAUUAAUAAGUGAAUUCUCAGAAAAUAACGCAUAUCUCCAUACCGACUUAAAAUUAUGGAAUAAUAUCACUCACAGGAUAGUAACAUUGAGACAGCGCCAAACCCUUUCUUGGGUGGAGCAUGUGUUGGUUUAAGACUGUUAAUCAUUUCCAUAUAGCUUAUUGGAAUCAAUUUUUGUUGGCAAUCAUUUCAGAGUGUGAAAUUAUAUUACAAGAAUGUUGAAGAUCCAGAAGCUCUUGAAAAUGCUACUAUUCAAUCAGUGAGAGAUGGCUAAGACCACGAGAGCAUGUAAUGACUCGCUCCAACUAUAUAGGAUUUCAUACUAUAUAUCAUUUACACAAGACAAGAAUCAACUGGGUCGCAUUAUUUUCUCAAAAGAAUAUUGUGUAACCAUAAUGUAAUUAUAUUUUAGUGACCUGUGGUUCAGUCCUGUAAAGGUAAACAUAGACACGAAAGGGGACAAGAAAGCUUGGAAGUUGUCAAAAUAUUUGAAGUGUAUAGAUGUCAAUGAUCUUUUUUGUUAUUUACUCUUCUCUCAGGGUCCAGAACUGCUCCUUGAACUAAGUUAUAAUAGCAUCUGGAAUUUGAUGAUGAUACUUUCAGUGAAUGCUCAGGGAAACGAUGCAGGGAAUGUUAUUUCUGGCUUACAGGGAUCGUAAACACCUAAGCUCUUGGUUGUCUAGUUCCAGCUUGAUCUGCAUCUGAGAGCUUUUCUAAAGAGCAGUUGCGGGAGAAGUAAGAUAUCUCAAUCCUUAAGCUUUCUCGAUUAUUUUGGAACUCUUACAAGUUAUAUUCAAUUCUUAGUUGCACGUACUAAGUUUCUAGAUAAUAAACUAGAGCUGAGACUUGAGGAAACCGAGUCAAGAAGGAAACUACAAGCUUUGUGUCCAUCUAAUCUCUGAUCAUUAUUGACUCUUUUUUUGUCUAUUCGAUUUUCUUGAUGCUGUUUAUAUUACUUGUGAAGUAUAUACAACUUCCUUUAGUGUCAUGAGACACAAAAUAGAAAUGACUUACUAUUGCUUGAAGCUUAUUGAGUCUACUUAGAUAGCAAUCCCUGUGGGAAAAGUUAUUUACACCCAAUGAAUUUUGUUUUGAAUAUUGGCAGGCUUCUGGUCGUAGAUGAUGUUGUCCUGUUCUUCCCACUGCUACCACCGAGGAUACGCAGACUCUGUCUCAGUAAGUCAACCUCUCUUUCCUUCCCAAUUCGUUGUUUCUCCAUCAAAGCUAUUCUCCCCUUGAGUGUCUCAAUGGUUUCUCCCCUAACUUUAACUUCCUUCCUAAGUUCUUGAACUGUCUUUGCAACUUCUUCUUGUGGUUUCUGUCUCAGUGCCUCUCCUACAGAAAAAAAGAAACUCGUUACUUUUCUCAAAAACCAAAACCAAAAUCAAAAAGAUGAGAUUAGUUGUGAAAAGUUUUACCGUAUGUUGUGUGGAUGAGAUCAUCAAGCUCAUUCUUGAUAGCGAAAUAGAGCUGUUUCCACCUCUCCACAGCUUCUUCCCUCACAGCUCUCUCUAGACACAUCUGUUCCACGACCCAUUCCCACUCGUGUUGUUUCGCUUUUACUUCUUCUUUCUCUUCCAUCUUCAGCCUCAGCCUCUUCACUUCCUCUCUAAGUCUCUUCUUCUCUUUCCUCCACUCUUUCUCUGCCAUCUUCAAAGCCAAAACCACUCUAUCUUUCUCAUCAACCUCUCUUCUUGUUGGUCUCCUUCUCUGUUCACUUCCUCUCACCUUGAUACGUCUCCUAGAACUAUCUCUCCCUUGCUUGCUUGUUGCACCACCCAUGUCUCUCCUCUCUCUAUCUCUUAUGGAAUUUUUGCUUGUUAUAAUGUCUGUCUCUUCUACAGAGAGGACUUAUUCUCAUUCAAUGAAGAGAAAUGAUUAUUGUUGGUGAAGAAAGCUCCACAUUGCGGCAUUGCAGACAGGUUAUUUAUAUAAUAGUGUCCAAAAGCGUCUUCUUCACUUAUUCCCUAACACGCUUUAGUAAAAAUUAUAGGAAUGUCUUACUACAACAAAACUCCAUGGUAAUUAUAUUCUUUAAUCAUGUGGAAACUGAGAUAAAAAAAAUACAAGAGAAGUUAUGGGCACUCAUCAGGACACAGUACUGAAUAGGUAACAAGAAAGAAAGAAAAAAAGAAUUGAAGUUACUAACUUCAAGUUAGUGUUACAGAAUAUGAAAAGCAUUGUUUCUUCUUCAAUCUCCAAUUUAAUGUUGUGGGCUUUGAUGGUUUGUCACAUGCCAUCAUAAACAUGGACCCAUACCUAUUUACUCUUUGUUCUUUUCAAUAUUUAUUAACCCCUACUUUAGUUUUUAUAGGUUUCUCUUAAUAUUAGUUACUCUAUUUUUGGUUUAAUUUCACUUAAAGUUUAUAAGUUUUUGGCAUAUUUCAUGAGUAAGGUUUAGCUUUGGAUCCUUACAGUUACAAUAUACACAUUUUUGAUUAAAUGGUCAACGAGUAAUAGAGUGAGAAGAAGACAAAGAAACAAGAAGAGACAUAUGUCUAAUCGCUAUUGACAUUGUAGAGUUUGGAUAGCUAUAUAAAGUGAUGGACUAGACUCUUUACAUCAAUGAGUUUCAUUGCUCUCUUCACGUGAACCACCCGGUUAAUUUGGGGUUUUGCCUCAAUCCUUUUCAUAUCUUAAAGAGUCAAUGAAUCAUCAAAAUCUUGUUAUUGCUUUUGUCUUUGUAUUAGCCUACUAGCCUAGGAACUGAUCAAGUUUGGAUUCUGACCGCAACAUUCCAAACAUGCACUAUGGUUUUAGCUUUUUGUCUUUGUACAAUCUCUUUACGACACUGCCUACUAAGACCAGCCUAGAAGGCUAAUCAAGGUCGGAUUCUGACCACAACCUUCCAAAGCUGCACUAUGGUUCUGAUCUAAUUUGUAUUCCAACAAGCAAGCAACAAUAUAUAUACAAACACAUUGAUACAUAGUGUAAACUUACUUACACGCAUAAUUUGUAUGUUUUGAGUAACAUUUUUUGAGACUGUCGUACUUUUUUAAAUACAAUCAUAUGAUACAUGCGGCCAAACCAUUCAUCAAUCAUUUAUCUCACAUAUAUUCAUUAUUAUGCCCUCAAUUUCACUUAUCUUUCACCUUAAACUCAUCAUGGACCACUGGUUCAUCAUACCCACUGAAGAUGGGAGUGCUGGCCGGAUUAUGGGCACACGUUUCGCUACUGAGAUUGCUUCGUUCCACCGAGCAGCAUGAUUCGCCACCUUCUGAAGAAGUAAUAUCAUUCAAAAGACAGACAAAACAAGAAUCAGAUGGUGUAAAUGUCUUUCCGAAUUGGUGUUCUGAAAUACUCACAAACUUUUGAAAGAUGAGUAAAAGUCAAGCAAGAACAUGAAUUUCAGUAGCAAAUGACAUAUAUGAACCGACAAGCAGGACUCAGACCAGUUAAACUACAAUUUCAGGUUUCACCACUACUUUAUCCUUAUCAGAGAAGCAAACAAGAAAAUGUAACAAAGAUGAAUCAUAAAGCAGAUAACCGAUGAAAGGCAGAGUCAGAACCAGUCUAAAGACCUUUCAACUAUCAUUUGCCCAUAACAAAAGAAAACACAAAACUAAAAUGUAAAAUGAAUAUGAUGUUCAAUCACUAAAGCAGAUAAAACCACAGAGAAGAAGCACAAAGAGAUAGAUCAUUCAGGUGGAUUUCUAACGCCUAUGUCUCACUAACUGCAGUUUUGCUUCUCCAUACCAAAAACAUACAUGAAGAUCUCAACCGGUACUAUAUCAAAGAACUUAUAUUAAUGAACAGCUUACAAUAAAACACUUUCUGCAUCAAGAUUGAGUAAAUGGAGCGUGACUAUUAGUGACUACUAUGACCACGGGUCGCUAGCUGCAUCUAAACAACUUAGCAAAGAGAAAACUAGCAAAAACCAACAACAACAAAAAAAUAGUCCCAGGACAAAUAGUUUAACUCAACCAACAAACACACAAUAGAGGAGAUUCCGAUCUCCUAAUUUUCUCCAUCAAACCAACAAUGACACUAAUAAAUCAUCUAACUAAACAGUAAAAGUUGAACUAUGCACAAUCUCAUCUCACUCCAAAAGAGUUAACGAUGACCACAGGGAUCAAGUAAAAGAACACAGAACAAUCAAAUAGACUGAACUAGUUACCUUAUCAUCCAAUAGAACCUUAAGCUGCAGAGUACGACUCUUCUUCUUCAUAUUGUACAAUCUACGCCCUAACAUAACAAAACCCACAAAUGCUGCGGCCAUGGAGAAAGACCAAAUAGGAUUAACUUUAAAAACACAAUACUUCAACACUUCUAUUGGAAUCUUCCACCACACAAAACCCUUCUCCUCUCCCCCACCACCACCACCAGAUUUAACAGAUGGAUCAACAGAAACAGAGUUCCCUUCUCCUUCCACCAGAUCAUUCCCACUAACUAUUUCACCUGAAAGUAAAGUUUCAUCCUUUACCUCACCAGAGCUCAUCAAAUCCAUGUCCUGAGCUAUACUUUCACUAUACUCCUCUGUAUCAAACCUUCCUUUUACAUAUUCAACAAUACCCACUUCGCUUCUCUCAUCAUCAACUGACCUUUGAUCCUCAAGCCGAUCACUACUCGAAUCAGACCAUAACUCACUAAAAUGCUUCGGACCAUACGGAGCAUCAGAGGAUGGUUCGAUCCAACCAGGACUACCCGAUUGAACAGACCCUUCUUCAUCUUCUUCCCCUUCCACACGAGACACAACACUCUUGUUCUCAAGAGAGAAGUAAUCAAACCUAAUCAUACCUUGAGUGGCAACUUCAAUGUCCUCCAAGCUCUUCGAAUUAUCAUCCUCCGUGGUAGAUCUCAAACUCUGCAGUACCUCCCAGUCUUGAAUCUCUUCUUCCAUGUCAAAGUUAGGGUUUUUUUCCAAAUCCAAUUGAGGAACCCCAAAAAGGAGAAAGCUUUGGAUGGGAGCAAUCAAAACAGAACCGAUACGCUUCUCUUCUCUGUAUGAUCGCUUACAGAAACAUUUCGGUCGUGGUGAUGACGUGGCGUGGUUUAAUUGGAUAGAGGAUGAAGUCAAAAGAGUGGUUUCGUUGACGUGUGGGUUUAUGAUAACUAUUUGGAUUGAGAGUAUUUGUUGGUACGGUGGAGUGCGAUGUAGUGGAUCUCUAACCGCUUUAUUUUGCUUAUGAGAUAUGCUCAACUUGAAAAUGGAGGGAGAGGAAGCAUACACGUCAAACUUUAUGCUUAUGCAUAUUGUGAAGAUACAUCAUUUGAUUUCUCCAUAUCAAACUGAAUCCAAGUGGUUAAUCUGUUUUUACUUUUUACUUUUACCAUUUCACUUUUUUUCUUUUUCUCUUCUAAACUAGUUGAUGAAUUAUUAAAUAAUUUUUAGAUAGUUAUAAGUAAACUAUAUAUUGAAUUAAAGAUGUUAACUUGUUAAUUUAAGGAGAAUUCUCUUCUCUUAAACUGUUAAACAUGUGUCGAGUCACUGGCAGUUCGAGGCUUUUGCCUCAAGAUAUAAUGGUGAUUAAAGUUAUUAACAGAGACUUCAUAUUUGCCACUUACAUCUUUAUGACUAGCCACCAAAACUCAGUAUCAAUCACACUAUAUAAUAACAAUACGAUUCCCCGACAGAGCUAAAGACAAUAAUCCCACUUGGCCAGAGGAAUGAUAUGCAUGAUUCAGUGACAGCAGGAUGGUAGAAUUACAAAAAUCAAGAUGGAAUAGGAAUACUUGGAUUCGAUACGAAUAUAUGUUUCAGUAUCAGAUCAUCUAGUUCACCUAGUUGCAACGGGUUGUGUUGUCGUUACAGCUUACUUGGGGGGAUUUCAUCUAUGAAUCAUCUAGGAGUUACUCAGGACGAGUCCUAGCUUAAUGGGUUCUCGACUAAGAAGGUUCUCUAGACCAGGCUAAUUAGUAAUAGCCACAUGAUCAAACACAGGGCCACACAUGUUUCAGAAACUGAAAAUGGUGAAAAUUACAAUACAUCACCAUGUUGAAUCACCUAGUCUCUAUCUUAAACCAAUAUCAACAACAUUCACCUCUCACAUACACAAUGAAAAAUUCACCAAAACGACUCUGAACACAGUUAGUUAAACACCAAAAAAGUAUGAAAUUUAGAUUCCAAUCUUCAACUCAAGAACGAGCCAAACCAAGACCUCAGCACAUGUUUCAGAAACUGAAGAUGGUAAAAAUUACAAUCCAUCACCAUGUUGAAUCAAACUGGUUUCUAUCCUAAGCCAAUACCAACAACAUUCACAUCUCACAUACACAAUGAAAAAUUCACCAAAACGACUCUAAACACAGUUACUAAAACACCAACAAAUUACAAGAAUCUUAGGUUUCAGUCUUCAACUCAAGAACAAGCCAAACCAAUACCUCAACACAUGUUUCAGAAACUGAAGAUGGUAAAAUUACAAUCCAUCACCAUGUUGAAUCAAACUAGUUUCUAUCUUAAACCAAUAUCAACAACAUUCACAUCUCACAUACACAAUGAAAAAUUCACCAAAACCACUCUAAACACAGUUACUAAAACACCAAAAUAUCAAUAAGAAACUUAGAUUUCACUCUUCAACUCAAGAACAAGCCAAACCAAAACAUCAACACAUGUUUCAGAAACUGAAGAUGGUGAAAAAUACAAUCAAUCACCAUAUUGAAUCGAAGUAGUUCCUAAUUUCCUAUCUUAAGCCAAUACCAACAACAUUCACAUCUCACAUACACACUGAAAAAAAUCACCAAAACGACUCUAAACACGGUUACUAAAAACACCAAUCUUCAAAUCAAGAAUAAAGCAAACCCAAAACAAAAAGAUUCUAAAUUGUGCAGAAGAAUUAACAAUCAGAGAAAUCACAAUAAAACCCAAAUCAUACUAAAAUCAUGAGCUUAAGUAUCCAAAUGAAAUCGAAACGAAACUGUUACAUUAUCACACCUUACUACAUCGAUUCCUCCACAGAUUCAAGAUUAGGGAUAAAGAACUGAAAUCUUAGAGAAGAGAUUAAACCAGAUUCAAUUGAUAUCAGUGUCAUCGAAAUCAUCCUCGAAUUUGUUGAAGAAAUCGGCGUCGACGAGCUUGUUCUCUGAGAUAAGUCCUCCUUCGUUGAGAAUCUCCAUAGCUUCGAGGUCAUCAACGUCCAUGGCCAUCGAGGAGCCUGCAUCAUCCAUCUCCGCCAACAUAUCCAUCUGCAUCGGCCUCAUUUCUCUUCUUCUUCUUCGUCUUCUUCGUCUUCUUCUUCGGGAAAGAUCUAAAAGCUUUACAGUGUGACUGUUGAAGAUAUUAAUUGUGAAGGUUUUAUUAUUUAGGCCCAAUUUAUUUGGCCCAUUUACUUAAAGGCCCGUUUAGUUGUUUCCUAGAGAUUUUGUUGCUUUGUUUUUUUUAUGACACUAAUUGAAGAUAGUAAUUUUUAUUUAGUAGCUGACUUGUUGAGUUAAAAUAGUUGAAUUUGUGUGUGUGUGUGUGUUUUUUUUUUCCAAAACUUACUAUCAAGAUAAUAAAUUUUACUAACUAAACUCUCACUAAGUUAAGUCAAACUGUUAAAGUUAAAAUUAGGAUUUUGAAUGCAUUUUUUCCGUAUAAACGGCUAAAUCAUAUCUCUUAUUCGGUAUCCGAAAUUUUUCUUCACAAAUUGGAAUAAAUUAAACCAAAAAUACUAAUUGAUGAAUGUGAUUAUCUCUCUCUCUUUCUCGUUAAUCACUAGAUUAAUCUAUGUGUUUGAGAUUACAAACAUGGGAAUGAGUUAAUUUACAGAUUGUAGUCAUAUUUAAUAUGUGCUAGUUUUACUCUUUUUUAUUGUUAAUGAGCUAGUUUUACAUUAGUUUCACACUUGUAUGCAUCUCAAAAAGUUUGGCAUAACAAUGUAUUUUUGAUCAAAUAAGAUAAGAAAAAAUGUUUCCACAAUAAUGUCUCUCCAAAUAUGUAGUCUUCUUGUAAUUGAUUUUUAUAAAUUAUCAAGUUCAUGGGUAGGUAAGGUUGCUUCAAAAGUAAAUGAUGUUUGUUGGGUUUUUUUUGUUUUUUUUUUUGGAGAUAAUUACUAUGUGGGUUCAUCUUGUUGUACCAUUAGUAUCAUAUGAGGACAUUUAUGAUUCACCGAAGAAGAUUUAAAUAAAUAAAUACUCCAAAUUUUUUCAUGAAACAAUAAUGAUACUUUUGCUUUGUUCUUGAAGUAUAUAAAGAUUGAAAAACCUAAUCAAAAAGAAAUUAAAAUUAUUUUUCUUCAGUUAAAAAUAGUUACAAAUUUCUAGAGGAAUUCGGAUUGUGAAAAAAAAUUAUUUGGAAUCUAUAGGUACGACUUUUUUUCAGAUUGAAAGCUGACAGUAUAUAGAAUUGUUUUCACAUUAAUAAUCAUUGGAAUAUUUGCAAGCUUUUCAUAAGCAAGAUACAUUGAAUUGAAUUUAUUGAUUGCGAAAAAAGAAAAAGUCAAAUCAACAAAGAAAAAUCGUAUUCGUAAAAGUCUUAUGGUUUUUAGUUGUACGGUAACGCAUAGCUAUUAUUUAUUAUUAGCCACUUAUAUUGACUAUAUGUGUUCCUUUUUAUUUUAUUUUAUUUUAUUUUAUUAUAAUUCAAUUUCUUAUUUUCAGCUCCAAAUCUGAAGCAACAACUAACAAAAGAAUUAUGCAGUGAGUCUAUCGGCUAUGGUUCCAUAUCAAUUCAGUAUUACAGAUUUUUGAGAUCUUGAUUGGUUUCUUUCGGUUUUCGAUUUUAAAAUUGAAACCGAUCUGAAUUUUAGUAUUUUCUGGUUUUGUUUCUAACCAAAAAUUAUAUAUAUUUUAGGAUAUUUCAGGUAUUUUUAGAUACUUUUGGGUUUUCAAUUAUUUCAAGUAUUAUUUUAGAUAUUUUGAUAUUUUUUCGUGUGGGUAUUCAAGUAUUUUGAAAUAUUUUAGAUAUUUAUUCAUUUUUCGGUUUGUUAUGAUUUGGUUUUUAAAUUUAGUAUACAUCUUGUUAAUACAUCAAUUUUGAUUCGGUUUAAAAGUUUAAAUGGUAGCAGCGAUUAAAGCGGUUUAAUCCGGUGAUAGAUUAGUCCAUUAUAACUAUUGUAACCAUUCGGAUCCUAAGUUAUUAAGGUUCGGUAUAUUUGGAUCAAUUUUUUUGCUCAUGCCACUAAGAGAAUUUGAACACGAGGUACAUUUGUGCAUCUAGAUGCUUAAGUUUUCGAUGAUAAGUAAACAAAAGGUCCAAAUCGCACUUUACAGACGUCAAAAACUUGAGAAAAUCAAAGGUCUCAAUCUCUUGGUAAUUUCAAACUCGUGGGGGCAAAUACCUAAAUAAACCCUAACUGUAUCGUAUAUGUACGGAGUUGCCAUUUAUGAUACAGACAAGAACAUCACGGGCUCCAAGUAAACUGUGAUCUACUGAUCUCUCUUUGUACGAAUCUUCUUUAUUAGUAUUGUAAUAGUUGGAAUCAUGUGGUGUAGCAACAUGUUACGUAUCUCCAAAGUUGUUUGUUUGUUGAAAUAUAUAUUUAAAAAAAAACAUUGCAUGAGUAGUGACAAUAAGAUUCUUGAUCAGUUUGUUCAAAUGUUAAUAUAUAAAAACACCAAGUUGACAAGUUCUGGUAGCUAUUUGCAAGUUUCCAGGACUAAGUCACAAUGAUAUGAUAUGUGAUGUAAGACAGUGUGUAUUAUUUCUUGAAAUGAUUGAUUAUUUUUGCACUAUAACAUGUAAUGGUCGUUGAGACUCACACAUGAUGACAUGAAUCAUCCGUUGUCAUUUCUGAUUGUUCUUCGAGUAUGAUUACGAUUCUGAAAGUAAAAAAUGAUCCUAUCACAAAUUGACAGUUGGUUAGAUGUAGUUUAUUAUCUUUUUCUAUCUAUAUAAUAUAUUUAUUGUAAAGAUUCUUUAACCUAUUUCACUUUAAAAAUAUAUUCAAACUAUUAAGUGAUUUGCUUGACUAAUAAUUAUGUAAUAGUUUAUCUAAACUAUGUAAAUCUAACAAAAACAAAUAACUAAAUCUAGACUAUUUAUAAAUAUAUAUUAUAAGAGUUAAAUAAUCUGUUAUACUAUAUUUUAAGUUCUUAGUCAAAGUUUAUCAAUAAUUAUUAGAAUAUUUGUUUGUUAAAAUUAAGAGAAUUUUUGAGAAAUACCUCUUUUGGUGUACCUCUUUUUAAAAAUACCACAUUUUCUAUUCAUUUUCAAAAAUACCCCUUUUCAAAUAUGAAAAAUUAUAAACUUUUAUAUGGUUGAUAAGGUACAUCAAGAUCAUCAUUACUACUGGGAGAAACGGCAUUUAUAUGAUUUUUAUAAAGUUUUUAAAAUGUUUACACAGUUUUUAUAAGCUUUUUAUAUGAUUUUUAAAAGGUAUUUAUACGGUACUUAUGAAAUAUAUAUAAAUUUACAGACAUGUAAAGAUAACUUGUGUCUAUAAAUAUAAGUUUAUACAUAUUUUUUUCAUAAAUUUCAAAUUUUAUUGUGACUUUUUGAUAAAAUUAGAAAAAGGGUAUUUUUAAAAAUAGUAUUGGAAAAUGGGUAUUUUUAAAAUUUCCCCUAAAAUUAAUGAAUAAUUUUUUUUUUUUGACAUCGUUAUAAAUUAUAUGUUUUUCAUUGAGAGGGACCGGACUCGACCCGGAUCUAGUGAGAAGGCAAUAGAGGUGAGAACCAC
Molecule: long non-coding RNA, 55728 nt
Filed under: Capsella rubella
Lineage: Eukaryota; Viridiplantae; Streptophyta; Magnoliopsida; Brassicales; Brassicaceae
Description: long non-coding RNA (CRUB_LNC001537)
Rfam family: MIR397 microRNA precursor family (bases 37692-37800)
Source: RNAcentral